ACUGCUGCAAUUGUCAACACCAUAGUUAUGUAAAACACACCAAAGCUGGCAUAGAAACUGUCCAUGUCUAUGAAGCCACCAUCUCCAUUGAAAUCGUUAGGCACUCUUGCGGAUGGUGAUUCUGUUUUGUCGCAACUGUUUUGCAAUGGAGGUCCACAAAGAAGAGGAUUCCCUUUAUAACUGCUCUCAUCAAAGGUACCAAAUUGAUUUUUCAUCUCCAGUGUUCUUCCUGACAAAUUAUUGUACGACACGUUGAAAACUUCUAGAAAGGUCAGUUCAACGAGUUGUUCUGGAAUUCUCCCAUUCAAGGUGUUGUGAGAAAGAUCCAAGCUCUCUAUCUGCUUCAGAUUGGAGAAAGAUGGAGGGAUCAAUCCAGUGAGAUUAUUUCGCGACAGAUUUAGAGAGUAUAUCCCACUUAAGUUUCCCCAUUCUGUCGGGAUUUCUCCAGUGAAUCUGUUACAAGAAAGGUCCAUAACAGACAUGUAACGAAGGAUAUCGCCUUCGUAAGAGUAGAAAUUUUUCUUUGUUGUAAGCUCUACAGAUAUUUUUACACUGAUCUCUGGCCACAAAAUUUUGCCAUAAAGAUAAAAACCUUCGUGCUCCAAUUCUCUUUCCCCCAUGGAUGCAAAUAUUUCUUUCCGGCUUCCAUCAUCUUGUGAGUACGUACUAGUGACAACCCAAGUUUUUUCAUAUGAUGCCGUAAAAUCUAAAUUGCUCAAACAUGAGGGUAACAGACUAGAAAAAUUAUUUUCUGAAAGAUCCAAUAUGCUUAAUUUCCUUAACAAGCAUAAUUGAACAGGAAGUUCCCCAUUGAAUUGAUUAGAUUUCAAAAGAAGAAAACUCAAUUCCGAAAGUCUAUCAAUCCAAUUUGGAAUUGGCCCAGUUAAGUUGUUAUAGCCGAGAUCUAAUGUCACCAAAGAAGAGAUGUUAUAAAAAGCAUUUGGCAGUGGACCGGUCAAUCGAUUUCCGUAUAGGUGGACAUAGCGUAAAUGCGGUGCAUAAAAGCCCAACGGCAAAGACCCAGACAAAUUGUUUUCAGAAAGAUCUAAAAAUUCAAGCCUAGAAGGAUUGAAAUAUUCUUUUGGAAUGGUACCUUCAAACUGAUUUCUGGACAAAUCAAUUGCCUGAAAGGGGUAUAUUGAAGAGUUCCCAAUUCCCCUUGGAAGCAUGCCUGACAAAAGAUUGUUACUUAUAUCAAACCACAAAAAUGAUGAUGCAAGAGAAAAGGUACCAGAUACUUGUCCUGCAAAUUUGUUUCCGUCGAGAAAGAGGUACUCUAGGUGAGUCAUGUUGAACAAAGAGAGUGGUAAUCGCCCUUUGAAAUUGUUAUUGGACAGCUUUAAGGACCACAACGAGGAGCCUACUGCUGGAAAAUUAUGCUUAAGCAGUUCACAAGACAUCUGAUUGUUGGAAAGAUCAAAGUAUUCGAGAGAGCUCAUAUUCCCAAAACAAGGAGGAAUACAACCUGUGAGGCUGUUGUUAGCCAUCAUGAAGUUUUUCAAACGUGGAAAAAUCGAACAUAUGUUGCUUGCAAUUUGACCAUGUAUGUUGUUGCCAGACAUAUCUACUGUCUGAAGGUUGGGUGUUGGAUGUUGUGGCAGCUGCAAAAGACUUGUAAAUGAGGUGUCUCUCAAAUAUAGCCGAUUUAACUUUCUAUUAUUCUCAAACAGCCAAGAUGGGAAAGGUUCUCCAACGAAUUUGUUGUGGGAUAGAUCAAGAAACACCAAAUCAUGUUGGCUAUGCAGGAAGUUUGGAAAUCCAGCUCUGAGUGGUUUUGAAGUACAGUUUGAAGCACUGAAGUAACGAAGCUGGAACUUGGGAGCUGAAGGCUGAAAACUGGGUGCAGCUAUCAGCUCAUUGUUAUCGCAUGCAAUGAACUUGAGGUUGGAGAGGUUCAUAAAUGAACCAAAUGUUAUUGGAACUUGAAAGUAGUUACUUGAAACUGAGAGGUAUUCAAGCUGCGUAAGAUGGGAAAGGUGACUAGAGGCAAUAUUUCCCUCCAAUUGGUUGUCAGAUACAUCCAAGAUUUGUAGAGAUGAUAGAUUUCCAAAACAAGGAGGGAGUACGCCCUUUAGAUAGUUUCUUGAGAGAUAUAGCUUUUCAAGAUUCUUCGGUUCACACCAGCCUGCAGAAUAUAUCAAUAUGUUCAUAUAUCAAUUAUGUAAUUGCUUGGUGAGGUUUUAAAGUUUUAGUUGAUUCUUGUUUCAUUACCUAGGUCGGUUUUAGAUUAUAUUUAAACAACUUUGUUUGUUAGUUUUUUAAAAGAUUAAUUAUCUAUAUUAUUGAUAUUCAUAAUUUUUUUAAUUCAAAGUUUUUUCUAUAAUUUAAGACAGAGAAAUUUUAGAGAUUCAGAAACUCUAGAUUUUAUCCUUUUCUAUACAUAACAUUAUGAGUAAAUUUCUAGUUUAAUAAAACAUAGAUAUAACAAAAUAUCUAAUGAACAACUGUUAUUUGGAUUUCAAUACUCUUAUAAUUGUUCAUUUGUAGAAUUACCAUCCCAAUAUCCAUAUAAAUUCAAUGAAAUAUAAAUUUGUGUGUUAAUUUUUUGAUAUUAUAUCAAUAUUUUAAUAACCAAAUAUUCAUGAAUUCUAACAUAUCACAUAUAAAUUCUAACUAGUUGAUCCUUUAAUAAAAUUUUAAAAAUUGAACAAAAGUUAAUGGUUAAUACACAUCUAUUUAUUAGACAAAUUCACUAAAGAAUAAAUUAAGCCUCACUAAGGAAUGUCAUCCAAGGAAGGAAUGAUUUACAACUUUACCAUUGAGACCAGUUGAUCCUGUGAACAUAUUGUCUGAUAGAUCUAGAGAUUUGAGAGUUGAAAAUCCAUUGAGAGAUGAUAAAAUGCUGUCGUUAAAUUUAUUGUUACUUAGAUAAAGUUCCUCCAAAUUCCUCAACCCUGAAGCUAGGACUUGAAAACCUGAAAGAAAAUUGUCGGAAGCAAAGAAAUUAACAGAUAUAUAUAUCAACCAUCCCAAUAUCCAUAUAAAUUAAAUGAAAUAUAAAUUUGUGUGUUAAUUUUUUGACAUUAUAUCAAUAUUUUAAUAACCAAAUAUUCAUGAAUUCUAACAUAUCACCUCCAUUCUUUUAAUAAAAUUUUAAAAAUUGAACAAAAGUUAAUGGUUAAUACACAUCUAUUUAUUAGACAAGUUCACUCAAGAAUAAAUUAAACCUCACUAGGGAACGUCAUUUGAGGUAGGAAUGAUUUACAACUUUACCAUUGAAACCAGUUGAUUCUGUGAAUCUAUUGUUUGAUAAAUCUAGAGAUUUGAGAGUUGAAAAUCCACUGAGAGAUGAUAAAACACUGUUGUUCAAUUUAUUGUCACUUAGAUAAAGUUCCUCCAAUUUCCUCAACCCUAAAGCUAGGACUUGAAAACCUGAAAGAAGAUUGUCAGAAGCAAAGACAAUUAAAAGAUUUAUAUAUCAACCAUUUCAAUAUCCAUAAAGAUUCAAUGUAAAGUUACUUGAAACAUAACUAACUUUAUGUGUUAACUAAAAAAAAAUUGAAAGCAUAGAACCUUGGUUCUUUAAGCCACCAACUAAUUGGUUGCCGCUUAAGUCGAGAAUCUCCAGUUCUUUGAAAGGCAGAAACAAAGGUGCAUUGAGAUCCAAGUCUUCGACUGCAUCAUAAUUUACAUAUGAAAGAUGUAGUUCGAUCACUCGGUUUGUGGUGUUGUCACACACAACCCUAUAAUAAUCCCAGUUACAGCAAUUAAAGUGCUCUUUAUCCCAACGUUCUAGCGGAUCAUAGGACCCAGCUGCACGUGCAUGAUAGAACCAAGCUUUUAUCUCUAAGAGACUAACUCUCUCUUCCUCCACACAACAAUGGCUCCGGUCGUUGAGGAAGGCCAGUGCCAUGAGCAGCAUCCACACCCACAUUUGCCUCAUCUUCAUAUUAACGCUCCUACUUGACAAAAUACAAAAGCAAGCAAGCUGUCUCUUAUAUACAAAUUAAUUUGUCCUCUUCAUUUGAUCGGACUUAAUUAUCUGUAUCAUUGAAUUUUCUAUGCUGAAUUAAUUAUCCAAGGGAGACUUGGGCUGAAUUGAAUGGGAGAAUCUUCACGGACAGAUCCAGGGGCCCGCACCACGGCACAGAUCGCUCGGUUUGUGGUGUUGGAUUAAAGGAUAUUAAUUCCAACUUCUUGUUUACUGCUUUACUUUUCUUCAUAGACUUGGGAAGUCAGGUGCUGUAUAUGAACAAUUGAUUUGAUCUUAUGAAAUACACGGCAGAAGAGAUUAGAAAAUGACUUCUAUUAUCAAUAAUUUCUUCUUACUGCACCUACUGAUUUUUAUUUCUUUUGAAAUAUUUAGAAUAUCUCUUUUGAAAUAUCAAUAUCGCCUACCCCACUUCCUUCAUUUUUGUUAACGGAGUGAAAUGAUUUCAACACGUGUCCAUGCAUCUGCCAGCUACCCUAAUUAAUCUGCACUAACAGUGACCAUAACAGCUGUAACAAUACUCCCUCAAUACUUGUAACAUCAUCCUAAUAUAUAUAUAAUAGAUUGGAAGCAUGCAUGGGUUUCUUACAUGAUUAACUAAACUUAAUCUUGUAAUAUUGAAUUAUUUGAUGAAAACAUUAUCUAAAACAAGAUUAAUUGAUAUAUUUAAAGUCAAAUAAAAAACAAACCCUGCUUAUUUUUAAUAUUAAAAAUUAUUUCUAACAUAAAUUUUUAACAUAAUAAUUUAUCAAAAUUAAAAUAAAUUAGAAUCACCGUUUGAGCAAUUGAUUUGAUCUUGGGCCCACAAUUAUUUUCAUUAGCCUGUUAAUAUUUUUCUUCAAGCUUGUGGAACAGGUUGUUCCUUUAGGCUACUUUGCUUCUUCUUUUUUUUCUUCUUAGACUUGGGAAGUUAUUUGUUUGAACAUUUAAUUUAAGUUUUUAUGGUUGUUUGUUUUUGUGUUUUAAAAGUAUUUUUAAAUAAAUUUUAAAUUUUUUAAUUUUUUUAUUAACUUCAAAUUAAUAUAUUUUUAGUGUUUUCAAAUCAUUUUGAUAUGCUAAUGUCAAAAAUAAUUUUUAAAAAAUAAAAAAAUAUUAUUAAUAUAUAUUUUAACAUAAAAAAUUAUUUAAAAAACAAUAAUAUAAUCUCAUCAUCCAAUAUCGCUUGUUUUUAUUCUUCGUAGACAUGUGAAGUAAAGAUUCCCAAUUAUCCACUGCAUCAAUCUCUAUCCCAUCAAAAUGAAUUUGGUGCAAGAAAAAAAUAUCUAAUAUAUGUGAUUUACUCAUUAUGCAUAUUUAAGAUUGCUAAAGGAAAAUAUUUAGUUUAAUUUCACAUAUAAGCUAAUUCGAUAACACUUUUUAAUAUAAAACCAAAAAAAAAAAGAGUGCUAUCGUCAUCAACUUUAUUUGGUUUCAAUUUAUGACGUUUGACAUAUAAAUUCUGUUCAAUUUAAAUCAACUUUUCAAUAAAUAGUGAAUGUUAAUGAGCACAGUAGCGAGAACUAAGCAGUGUUAUGUGUACUUGGAACCAAGGUUGUUAAAAUCGUGUUUUGACUCGUAAAAUCGUACGAUUUUACGAGUCAAAACAUGUAUUACGGGUUGAAUCGCUUGAAAAAAUCAAAAAUAGCUAAAAUCGGGUUGAAAUCGAGUGAAAUCGCGAUUUCAGGACCGAUUUUGCGAUUUUGACAAAAUAAGGCCCUGAAACAAAAUCCUCCCUCCUGGAUAGCUGUCAUGCCUAUUGGAUUAUUCCUGCACAGUCUUACUCAUACACAACGUUUCAUGUCUUCCUUAGCUCUCGUGUCUAGCGUGAAUAGGAAGGUCCCCGUGUUGGUCAAGCAGGAAUGUCUGGAACUAGUUGCUAUGUGUAAUAAAAAAAACUUUGGCAGGAUAUGAACAGAAUGAAGAAUUACAAAGAUGAAAUCUCUCUCUCUCUCUCUCCCCUUCCUUCUUCUUAUCUCUUUCACCAUUCAUGCUGCAACCCUCCUGUUGAUUUCUGGAAAUGGUUCAGAACCAUUCCAUCGCAUUCAAUUCCCCUGGAUAUAUUUCUGGAAAUGUAAUUUUUAAUCUAUUAAUUUUUUUUAUAAAACAUAUUAACCGAAUAUUAUUUCAAUUUCACUCGAGUUUUAUGGUAGAAACUGGUGAAGUGUGUGUAUAACACCUGACAAUAUUUUAAGAUGCUUGAACUAUAUAUGAAUUUUUAUUUGAAGGCUUGAAAUAUGUAUGAAAUUUUAUUUGAAACAUGUUUUUUAAUGUGCUUGAACUAUGUAUGAAUUUUUAUUUGAAACAUGAAUUUUUUUUAAUGUAUUUCAAAAUUCCUUACGAUUUUACGAGCCGUUUUUACAAUCCGAUUUUGUGAAGGGCUUUCCGUUUCGUUCUAAAAUCGCGAUUUUAACAAUCUUACUUGGGACUGUGAAUAAUGUACACUUUAGCUCUCUUCAUACAGUCAAUUGACUUUGACACAGUAAAAAUGAAAAAAAAAUUACUCCGUCGAUUGGUGAUUAAACUACAAUACUAAAUAUACCAACUCUGUGGAUUUGUGAUUAAACUUGGAAAAAAACAACAAUACUAAAAAAAGCCAUAUGUGAAUUUGUGAUUAAGAAAAUUCAUUAUUUUAUUUUUUGACAUAUUAGGUUCCACUAGAUGCACCCAGUCAAUGUGAGUGGUUGUCUUUUUUAUUAUUUAUGAGGAUCCAAUUGAUGCAUCAAGUCUAGGGCUCCACAAUCACUGUCACUAGUCAAUUCCGCCAACUUGUUGCGUAAACUACUUUGCUUUCUCUUCAUAUAUAGACAUGGAAAUCAUGUGGAAUCAAAAAAUUUAUUCCUUAACCUUUUUCAUGGAAUGAAGUGAUUUCCCAGUAGCAUCAUCAUCCACUUGCACUUUUUUUUUCUUCGUAGACUUGAGAAGUCGGUCAAGAUUCCCAAUAUAUUAUCAACAUCAUCAAUUUAAAAAAGAAAUAUAUGUUAGGUUGAUUUAUAUGUUAGGCUGAUUUACUUCCAUAUUAAUUAUUGUUUGAAUAUUCUUAAUCCGAAUGAUAUUAGUCCAUUCAAAACAAAUUCAUUUUCUUUUUUUAUAAAUAUAUUUAUAUAACUACCAAAGAAGAAAAUGCAUUGAUUAAAAUAUUAUUAAUCUGUUUGAAUGAAGAAAGUUAAGGCAGAGAUGACCAACCUAAACACCGUGUGGGCCAAUAAAAUUGAAAACAAAAGAUAAUAUCAAUGGCUUGCAAAAAAAAAGGGUUUGUGUUAAAUUUAUCUAUAUGUUAAAUUACUUGAUUUACUAAACUUAAUCAUGUAAUAUUGAAUUAUUUGAUGAAAACAUUAUCUAAAACAUGAUUAAUUGACAUAUUUAAAGUCAAAUAAAAAACAAAUCCUGCUUACUUUUAAUAUUAAAAAUUAUUUUUUAAUCUAAACUCUUUAGCAUGAAAAUUUAACAAAAUUAAAAUAAAUUAUGAUUACUAUUUGAGCGAUUGAUUUGAUCUUCGGCCCCACAAUUAUUUUUGUUAGUCUGUGAAUGUUUUUCUUCAAGCUUGUGAAACUGGAUAUUCCUCUGUAAUGUAAGUUCCUUUGUUUUUUUUCUUCGUAGACUUGAAAAGUCAUUUGUUCGAACAUUUGAUUUUCUGAUAAGUCAAUCAUCCACUGCAUCAAUCUCUAUCCCAUUGUUAGUCUGUGAAUUUUCUAUGCUGAAUUAUCCAAGGGAGACUUGGGCUUCAUUGAAUGAGAGAGUCUUCACGGCACAGAUCGCUCGGUUUGUGGUGUUGGAUUAAAGGAUAUUCCAACUUCUUGUUUACUGCUUUGCUUUUCUCCGUAGACUUGGGAAGUCAAGAUUCCUAUAAUCCACAUCAUCAAAAAAACCCAAAUCGAUAAUGUGGUGUUGGAUUAAAGGAUAUUAAUUCCAACGUCUUGUUUACUGCUUUACUUUUCUUCAUAGACUUGGGAAGUCAGGUGCUGUAUAUGAACAAUUGAUUUGAUCUUAUGAAAUACAUGGCAGAAGAGAUUAGAAAAUGAUUAACAGAUAUAUACAUCUCAACCAUACCAAUAUCCAUAAAGAUUCAAUGUAAAGUUACUUGAAAUAUAAUUAACUUUAUGUGUUAACUAAAAGAAAAUUGAAAGCAUAGAACCUUGGUUCUUUAAGCCACCAACUAAUUGGUUGUCGCUUAAGUCGAGAAUCUCCAGUUCUUUGAAAGGCAGAAACAAAGACGCAUUGAGAUACAAGUCUUCGACUGCAUUGAGAACAUCAUAAUUUACGCUAUAAAGAUUUAGUUCGAUCACUCGGUUUGUGGUGUUGUCACACACAACCAAAUCCCAGUUACAGCAAUUAAAAUGCUCUUUAUCCCAACCUUCUAGCUGAUGGGACCCAGGUGCACCUGCAUGAUUGAACCAAGCUUUUAUCUCUAAGAGACUAACUCUCUCUUCCUCCACACAACAAUGGCUCCGGUCGUUGACGAAGGACAGUGCCAUGAGCAGCAUCCACACCCACAUUUGCCUCAUCUUCAUAUUAACGCUCCUACUUGACAAAAUACAAAAGCAAGCAAGCUAUCUCUUAUAUACAAUUUUGUCCUCUUCAUGCAUUUGAUCGGACAGUGACAAUUAUCUGUAUCAUUGAAUUUUCUAUGCUGAAUUAAUUAUCCAAGGGAGACGUGGGCUUCAUUGAAUGAGAGAGUCUUCACGGCACAGAUCGCUCGGUUUGUGGUGUUGGAUUAAAGGAUAUUCCAACUUCUUGUUUACUGCUUUGCUUUUCUCCAUAGACUUGGGAAGUCAAGAUUCCUAUAAUCCACAUCAUCAAAAUGAAUGUGAUCGAAGAAAGGAAAAAAUGAAAAAAAAAAAAAAACAUUAACAGUGGCUUACAAAAAAUAAAUAAAUAAAUAAAACCAUCAAUUACGAGCUUCAUAAGAUAAUUUUAGCUUAAAAAAACCCAAAUCGAUAAUGUUUUCUUUAACAUUGGUAUCCGUUUAAUCAAUCUUCUGGUUUGAUCCUUGAUAGUGCUGUGUUUUGAUGCUUGUCGAUUAGCCACAAUAAUGUUAAAUUUACAAGGACAGAUCCAAGAAAAGCAAUGCAGGCCUGUUUUGGUCUCUGGGAGUCCCCUGAUAAAGGCUGCAACUAUUGCUUGAACCCUUGUAAAGGGGCCUUUACACAUGCGGUCCACUGAGAAGUACAACACCGUUCUUUAUUUAAUUCUUAUGGUUUAAAUCUACUAAUAACUUAGUCAUUUUGCAUGCUAUUUUUCCACUUGUUUUGUAAAAUAGAGAAAAGAACUGUUAAGCAUGCUGGAUAUUUCGCAUAAUAAGCUCCGGGUCCUUUAUCCUCUUGUUUGUCCAAUUUAACUUUCAUGGCAAACGAUGCAAAAUGCUAUGUAUCUUUUACUUGGCCUAGUAUUCAAUAUUUUGAUCAGUCAAAUCUUGUACUCAUGGGUUUGCCUCAAGUAGGCGAUUCUUAUCGGGAAAAUAAGUACACAAACAACAUUGCAGAUUAAUCUGUCGAGUUCUCAACAAAAAGACAGUCAUACUCCUAUCGAGAUGUGACGCGGAACAAUAAGUAAAAAGAAUUAAAGCAAGAAAAGAAAGAAGCUUUAAAGAAGAAAGAAGCUAAAGAAGAGGAGGAGAGGGGUUGGAGAUGUGCAAAUCUGCAAUUUUCAUUCAUUCAAAAAAUGUCUUCCCAAAUGACAAAGAGCAUAUAAAUAGUCUCAACCUAGAACAUCCUGCUAUUGGGCUUGGCCCAUCAAACCAAAUUGUUUAACAUAAAUAAUAAAAAUAACAAUGAGCAAGCCCAAAUGGGCUAAAUAAAUAAAAUUACAAUGAGAUAGGCCCAAUGGGCUUAGUCUCCCAACCAAAGCGUGACAGGCUGGGCCAUCCUACGUCGUCUCCGUCCAUAUACUCGUGUAAUCUGUGGCGUGGGCCUGGUGUCCUCACCAACUCUCCUGGGGUUAGAGAAACUCGACCUUGUCGAGCGUAGCAGUGGCCGACUCUGAUAGUACUCCCAAAGAUCUGGGUCAAGCUGCUGCAAAGUAUCUCUAGUAAUCCAAGUGCAGUCUGAGUCGGGUCGACCCACCCAGCGAACUAGAAACCGCUGAAUCUCACCAUUCCUAUUAAAAACAACUUGUUCAUCCAGAAUAGCAUCAAUAUUAUCCUUUUGUGCUGAUGUCAAAGUAAAAAGGGAUAGGGGUUUAUUAGGAUCAUCAGGAGGGGGUUAAGUGGUGUUCAAUGGGUCAUUUGGAAUAGGAAGUGGUUUGUGGUAUGCAACUAGAUCCUCAAUGUUAAAUGUAGAGCUAAUGCCAAAAUCAUGUGGUAAAUCAAGAACAUAAGCAUUUGGACCAACCCGUUGUAGCACUUUGAAAGGCCCGCACUACGUGCAUGCAAUUUUCGAUUAGCUCCCGAAGGAAACCGUUCGGGUCUAAUCCGUUAUCAUAGUCUCCAACAUUAAACUCAUUAUGUCGUCUAUGUGCAUCAGCUUGAAGUUUAUAUUGCGCAUUACUUGCUUGAAUUUGUUUAGUGAUCUCAAUAUGCAAAUCCUGAAUUCUACGUGCAAAAGACUCGGCUGACUCAGACACUCUAGCAUGAAGGGACAUGGGAAGAAGAUCUAAAGGUUUCCUAGGCUUGUAACCAUGUACAACUUCAAAGGGACUCAUGCCUAUUGACCUAUUGAUGAGCUAUUAUAGGCAAACUGGGCUAGGAAGAAUCAGAUCCCAAUUCCGAUUAUGAUCACUCACUAGACACCUUAAAAGGUUACCCAAACUCCUGUUAACCACCUCAGUUUGACCAUCAGUUUGGGGUGGUAAGCAGUAGAAAACUUCAAUUUGGUUCCCACCAUAUGCCAAAGGGUUUUCCAGAAAUAACUUGUAAAUCUAACAUCCCUAUCUGAAACUAUGGUUUGGGGAAGGCCGUACAACUUGACAAUCUCGUCAAAAUAGAGUUUUGCGACUCUGGAAGCAUCUGUGGUCUUAGUACAAGGAAUAAAAUGGGCCAUCUUAGAGAAGCGGUCGACAACCACAAAAAUAGAAUCAUGUUUCUUUGCAGUACGUGGAAGCCCAAGCACAAAAUCCAUGCUUACAUCUUGCCAAGGGCAAGUAGGCACGGGUAAUGGAGUGUAAAGACCAGUAUUUUGUUUUCUAUGCUUAGCGAGUUGGCAAGUUCGACACUGACCUACUAAUUUGGCGACAUCUCUUUUCAAACUAGACCAAAAAAACUGACGUUCCACUUCUUCGAUGGUUUUAUUCCUUCCAAAAUGUCCUGAGAGACCUCCAACAUGAAUCUCCCAUAUCAAAAAAUCACGCACAGAUGUUUUCAGGAUACAAAGCUUAUUAUCUCGAAAUAGGUAUCCAUCUUGGAGGUGAUAACCAUUUAUAACACGGUGAUGCGCAUCCUUCAAUGUCAAGUAUAUUUCUCCAAAUUCUAGGCAAGAUUCAUACUCCUCCUUAAGUCUCUCAAAUCCUGUGACUCCAACACUCAUUACAGAUAACAACGUCACCCGACGACUCAAAGCAUCUGCAGCCUUAUUCUCUAUUCCAGAUUUAUGUUUCAAAACAAAUGAGUAUGCUUGCAAAUAUUCAACCCAAUGACCAUGCCUAUUGUCGCACCCUAAAAAAAAUCAGCUCGCGGCAUCGGCUGGCGAUUUUUCUCGUUUGUUUGUCGUUGCUUGAAUUUGGUUCGUUGGAGUCGCCACCUAGUAAUUGAUUGCGGGCUACUAGGAAACCGGCUGUACUGGUCUUGUCAGAGAUUCGUGGGUACGGGACUGGUUGUGGUUAGGGAAGGUAUUAGCACCCCUAACACACCCUACCUGAGGUAAGCUGCUUCGCGAAUUUGAUGUAUUAAAGAAGUUUUAAUAAUUGUCUUUUCAUCAGAAAUUAGAAAUAUCACUUACGUAUAAGUUAAUAAUUCUUAACCAAGAUCCGAUCAAAAUAUUAAAUUCUUCUUUAAUAUAUUUGCAAUUUUAUCAUUAAAAAAUAUAUACAAAUAAAUAAAAACAAAAUACAAACACACACGUACACUUCCACUAUUUUUGUUUCUUUUCUUUUUUUCUUUUCUUUUCUUUUACAUCCAUAUUUACAAAACAAAUAGACAAUCCAAAAAAAAAUAAAAAAAAAAUACAUCAAACAAUUUAAAAUUACAAAACAGCCCCUAAAACAUCCUAAGGCUUCUAGAACAUGCAGGAACAGUGCACGAGAACAGUGCUGGGAGGCUUCUGGUGCAGAGAAUCAGUUGAUGCUUGCCAUUUGUUCUCAGUUAUACUAAGAAAGAAUGAACCGCGACUCUGUCCACCAUUCUCUCCUGUGCAUGAACAAAUCAGUGAAGGAAUAUUUGCAGUGAUAAAUAUGUUAAUGGUUUCCUGACUUCAUUAGAAUAUUUUGCUCCCAUUUUCUUUGCUCCAUGAACUGAAUAUAUAUUGCAACAUAAUUGUGGUGUUGUCAAUCACGGCAAUUAUGCACAUAAAUCCUUACUGGCGCCGCAGGUGGUUUUACUUCAUUGAAGAAUCGCAACUAUUAUGCUGCUGUUUUCUAGCGGUUAGUUUCCGUAAGCUGUCCAACAUCAUGUCAUCGAACCUCUGUAUAAUCAUUCAAUUAGAUGACACAUUUAAAAAUUUUAAAAACUAAUAAUACUAUAACUAUGAAGAACACCUAAAAUAUUUAAUUUUAUUCUUCCAAGUCUCUGCUAAACUAAUUAUACACAAUUGUGGUACUAGCAAUUGCGGCAGUUUUGUACAUAAACCCAUAUUGGCGACAUAGGUGGUUUUACUUCAUAGAAGAGUGCAUGGAGACUUGCUACUACUUUGAAUUGCAUACAUUUCAUAAGCUAUCCUCCUUCAUAAGGCCAUAGGGUCUGACGCGUGCCUUUUGUUUUUUCAUAUUUUUUAGUUUGAACUAAUAAAACCUUUACUUUUUUUCAAGCUUCAGUUAAUUUUAUUGCAGUUUCUCAAAUGAAUUCUACAAAUUCAAGAUAUAUAUGCAUCCUUAAUGCCAUAUUAAAGAGAAUAUAUAGAUAGGAAGAAGAGGAGCUUUACGUGAUAUGGAUAGCGAGAUGCUCCUAAGCCUAGAACCAGCUAAAACUUAAUAUUAUGAUGAAUAAUUCAGCAAAACUUAAUUCAAUUUCAACUUCCAUUCUCAUCAUUAGUACAAAAUGCAGAGUCAGAUUGAAAGGAAAAUGAUUGGAACUUGAAAUUCAGGUAACAAUACAUCUAGCAGAGCUUCCUCCUUACCCUCUCCCUAUUGUAUCUUCUUCGAGUGGAACUCUUAGCUUUUUGCCCUCCAAGAUAAAUGUUCUCAUCUUUCUCCAGUACUCUCUGAUAACUCAGAGAGCAGCCGCCCUGUAUAUUCCCUUUUUUUUUUAUUAUUAUUCAAAACGUUAUAGAGAAGUUCUUUUACAGAGAAACCCUUUUUAAGAUAACCAUCUAGAUAAAUAACAUUAAUCCCAUAUAUAUCAGGAUAUAUACAAUUACAAAAUAUUAAAAUAUAAUUUUUAUUUUAAAUUUUACAGCUCACGCUAACAUUAAUUCCUAAACAGUACAGCUCACGCUAACACUCUCUUUUCCAUCCAGCAUAAGCAGUCACAACUUACCUCCACGGAAAACUUUAUAGCCAACUUCAACCAAUAUUUAAAAGGAAUUUUGUCCUAUGUUUGAUAAGCAAAAUCAACAGAACCUGUCGUUGACUUUCUAGCUCAAAUUUAGCAGUAGCCAUUUUAAGGAGCAGAAACAAACACUGUACUUUUAUCAUCACGAAAAUCUGGUUGAUUUAUUAUCACGAAAAUCGAAAAUCUAGUUGAUUUAUCAUUACGAAAAUCUAGUUAAAACAAAUUAAUAUGAAAUCAAAUCGAGGAUGAAAGGUUGAUUUUGAGAUCAAGAAUAGCAUGUAUUAAAAAGAUAAUAAAUAAAAUUAGAGUAAUAACAUUGAUACAACUUAUCAUUAAAUUUCAUUUGCAAUUUCCUCUCGAUUUUCUGUAGUUCUGUAGAGACAUAGAUUAGUUGGUUCUUACGGGAAUUUUUCUUCCUUAAUUUCACUCCCAUUUCCCAAACGAUGGAAUUCAUACAACCUUUCGAUUUUAUUUCCACGUAAAAUCCAUUCUUCUCUAUCAAACAGAACAUAAUAAUGGGCCAUAUUUUAAUUUAAAUAUAUUUUUCCUAAUAUUUAAAGUUUUUUUACUGGGAAAAUAUCAUGGGGAUUUGAGAGAAAAGACAAUAGAUAAGAAAGGACAAGAAAAAAAGUGAGAGAAAAUGAUGGUGGGUCUUCAUUCUUCAGGGACCGUAUUGGAACUCUUUGGAGGCAUGCGUGAGAGGUGAAAUGGGAAAGUAUAGGGAACAAAGUGUAAUGUCAAUGAAUAUAUAGGGCUUAAAAUGCAAUUUACCCUUAAUUUUUUCGUGGAUGACGCAGUCACAAGGAGAGGAUAGAUGUCAUUUCUGAAAUGAUAAGACAGAAGUGACAAUAAGUAAAAUUUCGUAAAUCAUCAUCAAUCAAAAAUCAUGACGUGGGGACAAAUCACAUAAUUGAUUGAUUUUACAACCCUUUAAAACAAACUCAUCAAAAUAUUUAAUCCAAAUUCUGAAUAAACAACAAUAUCUAAUGUAGAUAGGUUUGAAUAAUUUGAUGAUUAUUAAUAGUCAAUUGUAGAUUUAUCACAAUUAGAUCAUAUAUAUAAAACCCAAUAAACUCAUAAUACGAACAAAUAUAACUGGGCUAACUUAAGAAAAAAAUACAUUGGUGCAAAAUGACUAGUCUAACUAAAAAAGUUUAAAUUUUAAUUUGACCUCAUGGAAAUCAUUCUCAAAUUUAAUUAGGAGAUUUUAUGGUUUCUAUUCUAUAAAGGGUGUGUGUAGGCUUGAAAGAAGUUAUGCGUGCCAAUUUCGUUAUUUUUUUAAUCUUUUUACAAUUCUAGUUUAAUUUUGGAUUUUAUAUUGUAAGAACCUAUAUCAUAUCAAGAUUAAAUUUCAGUAAAAAAAAAUAUUAGAAUUCUAGUUGUGGAGAGUUUUUUUAUAUAUAGAAUUACGUUUUUCUUUGAGCUUGUUUUUUUCUUAACCGGAUCAACUACAUCAAUCUCCUAAAAAAACGAAAAAAAAAAAAGUUGGGAAUGAAAACUUAAGUGAAAUUUAACAGUCUGCAACAACAAUCCUUUACCGUCCACCAUGAAAUGAUCAACAGGUUUUUUUUAAGGACAAUAUAAAUUCUGAAAGAGCGUAGACAUGAAUGACAGCCAAGAACCACCCAACAGCCAUGCAGGGUCUAGUCUGCAUGGCAAAGGUCCCCUCAAUCGCUGAAUCCACAUGAACACAGUCUAAUGAACUGCUAACAUGCAUUUGGUUGUGGUAAUUCAAUUAUGCGAAGGGUGUCGGUCCGAAUUCUUCAACUUAAACGAACAUGUUUGCGUAAUUAAGUGUUCAAUCACGUACUUAAUUUGCUAUUGAAAACAUUUAGAAUUUAUCAACAAUUUAAUUAAGCAGGUGUAUACAACCUCCCAACAUUUGUAGAUAUCAUUGAAUCAUUAGUUAACACCAAGUAGACUGAGAUCGGAUCAAAAUGUGUCACUUAAGCUCUUAAUAUUACAGAAAACUUACAAUUGCCCUGAUGGUUAAUUAGCACAAAAGACCGGCUUGGAGUUCAGACUAGCCAAAUUGCCCAACUCUUUAAGCCUGAAUUUUAUCACCAUCAUAAAAUGGGAAAAUUAGUUUAGAUAUACAAGGCGAAAUGGAAUUAAUUACCUAACAAUUUGAACUUCAGAUUGGUCAUGCAUGACCACUUGCAGGUCCUCCUAGUGUUAGAACCACACCUUGAAGAUCACUUCUUGGAUCUGAUUCUUUGGCUAAUGAUGGAGCAGCUCUGAUUACCGGAUAUGUUCUGGUCACUUGAGUUUGUCGAGAACUAUGACUGGAUUGUCCUGAGAAUGUUUUUGGAUGAUGAGAAGGCUUCAAGGUAUCAGUAUGAAAUUCAUUCGAAGCACCACCCAGAAACCAGUGCUCAAAAAGCCCCUUUAUAAAGAUAACUAACAGAGAAGGUCACAGACAGCAGAGGAGGUCAGCAUCACCAUCGAUUUCCUUUCUCCAGAAGCAGGGGUUUACCACCACAUCAACACCCAUCUUCCCCGAUCUCUUCAUCUCCUUUAGCACUGAAGAGAAACCGAACGGUGGAGCAGAGAACACAGACAGCAGAGGAGGUCAGCAUCACCAUCGAUUUCCUUUCUCCAGAAGCAGGGGUCUACCGCCACAUCAACACCCAUCUUCCCCGAUCUCUUCAUCUCCUUUAGCUCUGAAGCUUCCUCCAGCAGUGGCCAACACACGGCAGCCCCUACAAAACCAAAAUGAGAUAAAUCUCAAAGAGAAAGAAAGACUCGAACUUGUGUAGCAGAUCUGGACCGAGAUCCAGCCGCCAUCAGCUCUGGCGAUGCCUAACAACCAGAUGUGCUACAGGGAUGAACUCUCGGGCAACAAACAGUGAUAGACUCGAAAGAAGCCAAUCUAAAGGAGGAGAAGGAAAAAAACGCAGAUCUGUGAAAAAAAGACAAUAAUCGAAACUCAAUUAAGAAGAAAUCAUCGCACAAACAAUCUCCCGGACCGGUUGUUGAUUUGGAUCCUUUCCCAAUUGAGGAUGGAAGACUACGGGAAAGAGGAGAUUGGUUGGGGUGGGGAUUGAAGCUGUGAUUUGGGAUCGGUUCAGUUUAUCAAGCAGACUUCAAGAGGUAAGACCCUAUACAAUAACAGUAACAACAAAGAGAACUUUUCAACCCAGCCAUGGAGGGGAAAGCUCUCUCUCAAAAAGCCCAGCCACCGUUCCAGACAAACUUAAUUCCUUCUCACAAACACAAAAAAGAACUUGACCUUCCAUACAAGCCAUAUUACCCCCAGCCUCAGCUACCAUCCAUCACCUUAAACACUCAGACUUCAACAAACUACCGUGAUUUUCAACUACAAUGUUACUUUGAAAACUUCCUAAGUUGGGUCGAUUACCAUAAGCUUAAAGACUGCUUCAGAAAACAGGGGAAAGUUAUUAAGCUGUUUGUUUCUCGAAAAACAAAUCAAGCAGGAAAGCAUUUUGGCUUCGUCACCAUCCUCUCGAAUCUGUCAGACAAAACUCUGCUAGAAUGCUUAAAUGACAUAUGGUUUGAUUCCUACAAGCUGAGAGUUAAUGUGGCUAAGCACAGAAGAAAAGAUGUAGUGACGAAACAGAAAAUAAUGGGAACCGGGAAACAAAUACCCAAGCUCAACAACAAAGCCAAGGCCCCCAUCCGUGUAAGAGACAACCGAAGCUAUCUUGAGGCAGUAAGAUCAGGGAGUCAAGUGCAUCAAGCGUCUGAUAAUGCCACACCACGUCAUCAUAACUUCAUUUCUUUCAACACUACAGAUGAGGAAAUUCUAUGGUUAAGAAAUAGUCUUAUAGGCAAGAUAUCUCAGGGAGUAGAUUAUGCACAAAUCAGACAUGGAUUAAUUCAGCUAGGCAUUUGCUUCUCUGCUUUCCGUUUCCUAGGGGGAUCACAGGCAAUCAUAAGCUUUGAUGGUGAGAAAUCUAUGCAACAAGCCAUGCAGAAAGGUAUGGAAUGCUGGAGGCUCUACUUUGAUGAAGUUCACCCGUGGACUGAAGAAGAUGUGACAGAGAGUCGUCUAGCAUGGAUCUCUAUCUCUCAUUUGCCUAUCUCUGGCUGGAGUUUGAGAUGUAUCUCAAACCUUCUCAUGAACCGUGGACGGGUGAUAGGUUUUGACAAAACCAGCCUAAAAAUCUCUGAACUUCACAGUGUGAAAAUCCUUAUAGGUACUCACUUGCCGGAGAUCCACGACUCUAUAGCUCUCAUGCUAAACUCCAAGUUAGUACACAUAUAGCUGGAUGAGAUUGACCUUUUAAGAUAUCCAGAGGCAAAAGGAAUUUCAUACUCGAUGGCAGAAUUUCAAACCACAUUACUUCAGGGAGAUAGUGCUGACAGUGACUCAGAUGAUGAAGUGUACACUGAUCUUGCUUUUGACUUGGCAGGAGAUGACAACAUUUGCAGGCUAGGUAUCACUGAUAAGAAUUGUGGAUCUGAUGACAAGGGACACACGAUGGAGGUAAGGAAGCACAACCCAUAUGGGACACAUGAGGUGUACGAUCAUAGCUUUGCGUCCACAAUAAAUGCCAUUGACAACACAGAACGGCUACAUAUCGUUGUUGACGAUCUCUUUUACGAUGUGAAUUCAGCAAGCCCACUAGAGCAUCCAAGCAUGGCUUUCAAAAGAGACUCCUUCUUGCCACAACCUUAUACCCCUGUUAGCAGUGAUGAUUCUUUAGAAUCCCACUUCAAAAUCCAAAGCCUACCUCUUACAUCUAACCAACAACAGACCCCAACAGCCAAACAACCAAGACUAAAGAAAAUAUCCUCUACUAGGAGUCUCCUCUCCUUGCACUCUUCAGCAAGCAUGUCUUCUAUAGACUCUUACAUCAGGGUGAAUAAUACCCGUAACCUGAAAGAAUAUGCAGCGGAAUCGUCCCACAAUGAAGUCAACAAAAUGAUCCGUUUGGGAGAAGCUUUGGGUCUUGGUAAUUCAGCUCUCUUGGAACAAUUUUCUGGUCUUAUCAUAAGACAGCUAGAAAAGGAGAAGGAAGAUUGGCAGAAACAACAAUGAAUAGUAAGUUUUCAUCCCCUGCAGAUAGGCCUUUUAAUUCUGUCAUGAAUAUUCUUUCUUGGAAUUCCUGUGGCUUGGGCAUGAUGAGGAAACGAAGAAGAAUCACGAAAUUAAUAGCAGAAUAUAAGAUUGAUAUAUGUUUCAUGCUGGAAACUAAGCUAGCUAAUUGUUCCAUUGGUUUUGUAUCUCGUAUUUGGAAUGAAAAUCAUGUGAGUUGGUUUAGUAAUGAUGCUCAAGGAUCAAAAGGAGGUCUGCUUGCUAUGUGGAAAAACACUAACUUUGAAGUCUCUAAUAUUGAAUAUGGUCAUGGUUGGAUCGGUUUAUAUGGUAAACAUGUUCACAGUGAUUUUCAUUGCUUUGUUAUUGGCAUCUAUGCUCCUUGUAACUAUCAGGACAGACAAAAACUUUGGGAGGAUCUCAUUCUUCUGAAGCAUGCUUUUGAAGUUCCAUGGAUAAUAGCAGGAGAUUUUAAUGAAACGCUCUCUCAGAAAGACAGAAACAGUGGAAUUUGUCAUCCUGCAGGCUCAAAUUCUUUUAGCAGAUUCCUGCAGUCUUGUGAGCUCACUGAAUACCCUUUAGCAGAAGGUUAUUUUACCUGGUUUAGAGGAAGGUCCAAGAGCAAACUAGAUCGAAUGUUCGCAAGCUCAACCUACCAUCUUCACUUCCCCAGUUUAUCUCUUCGACGACUUCCAAGAGAGUUCUCAGAUCAUUGCCCUCUAAUUCUAUGUAGCUUCUUGCAAGACCAUGGAUGGCGUCCUUUUCGUUUCUUGGACUGUUGGACUCAAUACCCAAAUUUCAAGCACAUUAUUGAAAGCUUCUGGAAUGAUGCAUGCUCCCUUCACCCUGGCCGCUUUAAAUUUCUCAAAAAGCUUAAUCAUAUUGCAGUCAAAUUGAGGCAAUGGAAUAAGCUUGUAUUUGGAAAUCAAGAAGCUGGCCUUCAACGAACCCUUUCAGCUAUCAACAUACUAGAGGAAAAAUGUGAAGAAGAAGGUUUAACCGACCAAGAGCAGGAGCAUUUAGACUUUUUGUUGAAAGACCGCUGGGUUCGCAACAAUCACAUUGAAUCUAUUUGGAGGCAGAAAUCAAGACAGAUGUGGUGCAAAUUGGGUGACAGAAAUAACAAGUUUUUUCACAUGAUUGCCAAUUUCAGGAAGGCUAAAUCAUCAAUACUUAAAAUCCACCAUAAUGGCAACACUUUUGACUCUCAGCAGGGAAUUAAGCAGGCUGCUGUGGAUUAUUUCUCUGAGCUGUAUGACUCUCCCUCUGGUAAAAAGCCGCAGUUAAAUCCUUUGGGUUUCAAAUGUCUCUCUAAAGAAUCCUCUGAAUGGUUGGAGCAAGAAAUCACAAUGGAAGAAGUGAAGCGCGGUGUAUGGGGUUGUGAUGGGUCAAAAUGUCCUGGACCAGAUGGUUUCAACUUCAAAUUCUACAGAUUAGCAUGGGAUUUUAUUGCUCAAGACAUUCUCGAUAUAGUCUUAAGCUUCUUCAGAACAGGAAGGCUUCCCAAAGGAAUCAAUACAACCUACGUAACUCUCCUCUCUAAGACAGUCGAACCCAUUGAGUUUAAAGAUUUUCGGCCCAUCAGCAUGAUUCAUGGUAUUUAUAAGAUCAUUGCUAAAAUCCUUGCUUCUAGACUGAAAGUUGUUAUGCAAGAUAUCAUUAGCAUUAACCAAUCAACGUUUAUAGCAGACCGUAACAUUAUAGAUGGCUUUAUGAUUGCAAAUGAGCUGGUGAAUGAUCUAAAAAAGCAAAAAGCGGCAGGUUUGAUUUUCAAGAUUGAUUUUCAUAAAGCUUUCGACUCAGUCUCCUGGGAUUACCUAGAUGAUAUCAUGGGUUAUAUGGGGUUUGGUAGAAAAUGGAGAACCAUGAUUUAUGAAUGUCUUUCUUCAUCAAAACUCUCGGUUUUCAUCAAUGGAUCUCUUUCAAAAGAAUUCUCUGUUCGGCGAGGGCUGCGUCAAGGAGAUCCGAUUUCCCCUUUUCUGUUUGACAUAGCUGCUGAGGGCCUCUCUGUACUCUUUCAAAGGGCAUCUAGUGGGAAUAUUAUCAAAGGGCUGCAAUUUGCAUUAGGAAUUUUUGUCAGCCAUCUUCAAUAUGCAGAUGACACAUUAAUAUUCAUCCCAGCAGAUAUUGAUCAGUUAGUUCAAGUCAAAAGAAUUUUAAGAUGGUUUGCUCUGUCUUCAGGCCUUCAUAUAAACUUCCAUAAAAGAUCCAUUAUUGGUAUCAAUGUCGAUGAUCACUUGUGCUUGCGCUUGGCUACAUCUAUUUUCUGCAGAUCAGACUCCCUCCCAAGCAAAUAUCUUGGCAUGCCAUUAGGAGCCAAUCCAUCUCGUAUCUCCACAUGGAAGCCAGUGAUAGAGAAGUUUCGUAAAAGGCUUCAUAUAUGGAAGGGGAGACUACUAAGCAUGGCUGGUCGUCUAUGUCUCAUUAAAAGUGUCCUUAAUUCCCUGCCUAUAUAUUUUAUGUCUGUAUUCAAGAUGCCAAAAGGGGUAGGCAGGCUUCUUUCAUCCAUCCAAAGACGUUUCUUGUGGUGUGGAUGUACCAAGCAAAGAUCUUUCUGCAAGAUCCAAUGGAGAAUAGUGAUGCGCGAUAAGAAACAAGGAGGCCUCGGUGUAGGCUCCCUUAUAUCAAAAAACAGAGCCCUGCUUCUAAAAUGGAUUUGGAGACUCUCUUCCCCAGGUACAAGCUUAUGGAAAAUGAUUAUCUCUUCAAUGUACAAUCCAUCUUAUGAGAAUGGGAUCCCAAUUUUCUACAACCAACCAUCCAAGAUAUGGAAGGAUAUUAUGUCCAUCGUUCAAACCGACGUUCACCAAGUCUUCACGAAUCAUUGCAAAUUCAUGGUGGGGAAUGGCAAUUUAACAUCCUUUUGGCUAGACAGCUGGAUUGGUGACGACCCUCUCAAAACAGCCUUCCCAAGGCUAUAUCUUUUGUCUUCCUCUAAAACUGCUUUGGUGGCUGACAUGGGUAGAUGGAGCAAUGGAAUCUGGCUCUGGUCCCUACAAUGGCGCAGACCUCUUUUUCAUUUUGAACAAGAACAACUAUCACUUUUAUCAUCCUUGCUGGAAUCCAAGCCAAUGUUCUGCCACAAGAUGGAUAAGAAAAUCUGGACCCUCAACAACGAUGGCCUCUUCAGUGUAAAAUCUUGCUCCAAAAUGAUGGACCAGUUACUCUACGGUGGAGCCAAACCAUUCCAAUCUUCUGUUUGGAUAAAACUAACCCCACCAAAAGUGCAGCUUUUCCUUUGGCUCCUUGUCCAAGACAAAGUAACCACAAGAGAUUUCCUAUUUCAACGCGACUACCUCUCCCUUCAGGAGUCAAGAUGUGCUUUCUGCAAUAAAAGCUUGGAAUCUUCAAGUCACCUCUUCAUUCACUGCCACUUCUCUUGGAAUAUAUGGAUGAAACUGUUUUCUAAUCGGGGCUUUUGCAGUGUUUUUCCAAAAUCUGUUGAUGAUAUGUGCUACCAAUGGUCUUCUAUGGUUAAAGGCAAGCAACAAAAUCUCUCAUGGCAACUUCUUUUCUCAUGCGUUGUUUGGAAUCUUUGGCUUCAUCGAAAUGAUGUUAUUUUUAAUGACGCUGCCCCUAACCAUCAAAUCUGUUUCUCCAUGGUGCGCCAAAGUAUUGCUUUAUGGUUGAGGCUUGACUCCAACUCUUUCGAGCUUAACAUAGAGAAUGUUUAGUCGGGAGGAGUUGGUUUCUUUUGAUUUGUCUGUUCUCCUUUUGUUGUUAUCCCCUGUUUCAUGAAACAGUUUUUGUGCUUCCCUUUCCUCUGCUUGUUCUUCUGAUGUAAGUUAGGCUACUAUCUUUGUAGCUUUUUCCUUUUAAUAAAAUUUCGACUAUUAACAAAAAAAAAAAAAAAAGGUAUCAGUAUGAUUGGAGUUUGGAAAUUGAUGAACAAUGGGGAUUGGAGUUGCUGGUGAUGCAUGAUUUUGAGCUAGAAUUGCCCCUCUCGAUACGAAACCAGGUGCCUGAUAGAUAAAAUUAGGUUUCAAUACGAGUUCGAAAUAUACUGCAAAUGAGGGAAGUAAUGAGGAGCUUACAGGUGAAAACAAGACCCCUCUGAAAAUCUUCCCAUUAACAGUUGCAGUCAUUAGAAGGCCUAAGUCGAAGGCUCCGUCAACUUUACCUCGAACUUCAGCACCAACCUAUGGAGAAAGAGAAGAAAGUGAAAAGCAAGUAUUAGCAGAACAGGAAGGAAGACAGACAAAAAAAUUUGUAAUUGACAAUGUUUUGCAUUGCAUAUAUCAACUUAAUGAUUUACCAGGUUUUGAGUACACCCUGGCUCCAUGGAUCUAUGUUCCACUGCUGGGAAUGGUGUUCCUUGCCUGCCAAACCCUGCAUGAACAUAUUGUUCUACUCUUUUAUUCUCUUGAAACUUGGAGCCUGUGCCGGGUUUUUUGGAUCACAAGUCUAGGUAGUUUCUGAUUACAUGCAACACUAUCAGCCUGGUAAUUUCUUGGAAUUUUGUAUAAUUAAAUAAUCUAAUCUUAAACCACUACUCCAAUUGUUGAUAUAAAAGUUUAAAACCGAUCUAAUUAAAAGAAUUCAAAAUUAAGUGUGAAAAAUAACUAAAAUAAAAAAUUAAUUCAAAUAACAAAAACAAAAUCUUUUGCAUCUGAUUUGAGAAAAUUUAUGUGGUGGAUGACCGAGCCUGUAAAAUUAUAUGAUAAAAUUUAAGUAUAAUUUAAAAAUUAAAUUUAAAAUUAUUUUUAUCAGGUUUUAUGUCUAAUGUGUUGAAUUUGUUUAUGGAUUUCUAUUCAGGCUUAAUCAUAAACGUCUUUGUUUACACGUCAUAAUUAAAGCAUAAAAUGUCGUGUAAGCCGAUGCUUGACUUUUUUAAAAAAUAAUUUAGUUUCGGUUGACUCACAAAAUUGAGACAUCUAGCUAGUCACUCAUGGCUUUAGACGUACCUCUUGUAAAGAUAUCAACGGCUUUACGUCUACCAAGUGUCAGAAGAUUAGAGAUUGAUAUUGUUAGAAUGUUGUUAAUAUUGUUUGUUAGCUAAGAGAGUUUGUUAGUAUUGUUUCAGUGCUAAGAGAAAGAACAGAUACCGUGUAUUACCUUUCUAAUAUAGCCUAUAUAAACUGAGGAUUAGUGAUGUGAAAAUAAUGAAAGAAAAAGUAAUAAUAAAACAGUGCGAGACUUCAUCUUCUGCUUCUCUGUAACAGAAUUAUUCUAUAUUCUUCUUCCUUUCUAUUCUCUGCACUUUCUUCAUUUCUGCUCCUUUUCUGUAUAAAUUCUACCGUCUAUCAUGGUAUCAGAGCAGUAACUGGUCCGAUGGGAUGUCUUCUGAUUGUCAAGAAUUAUACUGGCGAUCGUCUAAAUUUUGGUUUGGCUGCUAAGCAAGCAAAAUCUGAAGGUUAUAAAGUAGAGACUGUAAUUGUUGGAGAUGACUGUGCUUUACCUUCACCUCGAGGCAUAGCUGGACGAAGAGGGUUGACGGGGACUAUUCUUGUUCAUAAGGUUGCUGCAGCUGCAGUUACUGUUGGCCUUUCUCUUGAUGAAGUUGCUGCAGAAGCGAAACGUGCAUCUGAAAUGGUUCUAAUAUCUUGCUAAUCUCUGUUUCUGUAGAGAGAGCAAUACGGUCUCUUAAGAUUCAUACUUCUCAACAAGCUUGCACAAAGAGUCACUAAAUUGCUUUUGGCCACUUGCCAGAGCAAGUACGAUAGUCUUCUCCAUCAAAUCCUGAAGAAGAUCAAUAUAUAACAAAGAGUCGCCGCCAAUGUAUUACCAGCAGCCAUUAAUCUCUGUUUCUGGCAUUAUUAUCUCCUUAUCUACACAAUUCUUUCAUAAUAAUCGAUAUGUCUAUCAUUUGUUUGAUAUAUUGUCAAACUGAAAAAUUCUUCUUCAAAUCUUCAACUUUCUGCAAGAUUCUUCCUUCUCAAUCUUUGAUUCUCUUCUUUUCUAUCUCUUGCACUCUAAAAAUGGCGACUACUUCUCAACUUCAGAUAGUUCAACUCUAAUAAGAGAAUAUACACAUAAACGUUUUCUUCUUCCUCUACACUACAUAAUUUCUCUCUGCUUCUCUUCAUCUCUAUUCUCUGCUUUUCUUCUCUUCAUCUAUAUUGCUUCUAUUCUCUGCUUUUCUAUUGCAGUAUCUCCCUCUAAUUCUAUUCACUUCUUUGUUCAUCUCUGUGACGAUUCUUGCUAGCUUUUCAAAAUAUUUCUUCUAUCUCCAUUGCUUCCAAUCCAGUGUUCCAUUCCAGGAUGAAACAUCUCCAGAUCGAUUAUCACUUUGUUAGGGAACGGGUUAUCAAGGGUGAUUUACUGGUCCAGCAUGUCUUCUCUACUGAUCAGUUUGCUGAUAUCCUCAUCAAAGGUCUUUCCAUUUCUUUGUUUCAGCAUCAUUGUUCCAAUCUCAUGCUUGGCUCCUCCAAGCCUGCGAUUGAGGGGGCAUGUAAAGAUAUCAACGGCUUUACGUCUACCAAGUGUCAGAAGAUUAGAGAUUGAUAUUGUUAGAAUGUUGUUAAUAUUGUUUGUUAGCUAAGAGAGUUUGUUAGUAUUGUUUCAGUGCUAAGAGAAAGAACAGAUACCGUGUAUUACCUUUCUAAUAUAGCCUAUAUAAACUGAGGAUUAGUGAUGUGAAAAUAAUGAAAGAAAAAGUAAUAAUAAAACAGUGCGAGACUUCAUCUUCUGCUUCUCUGUAACAGAAUUAUUCUAUAUUCUUCUUCCUUUCUAUUCUCUGCACUUUCUUCAUUUCUGCUCCUUUUCUGUAUAAAUUCUACCGUCUAUCACCUCUAACUUCGCUUACUAUGCUUAUUAUGCAAAGCAAUUAUUUUCAAGCUUGUGGAACGGGGUGUUCCUCCAUCUUCUUGUUUAACUGCUUUCUUCAUAAACUUGGGAAGUCAUGUGUUAUGAACAAUUGAUUUGAUCUUGUGAAAUAUAUGGCAGAAGAGAUUAGAAAAUGACUUCUAUUAUCAAUAAUUUCUUCUUCCUUGUGAAAUGAUUUCCCGAUACAGCUCUUAAUUUCAACACCUGCUUGCUCUUCUUUUCUUAGUAGACCUGGGAAGCAAAGAUUCCUAAUUAUCCACAUCAUCAAUCGCGAUCCCAUCAAAAAUGAAUUUGGUGGAAGAAAGAAAAACAAAUUGAAAGAAAAAUUAUCAAUUAAGAUUUCAUGUCGUCACAAAAAACAAUUACGAGCUUCAUAAGAUAAUUUUAGCUAGUUUGUCUUAAACUCAUUAGAACAUCCUUUAAUCUUCAACUGCUGUCAUUUGAGAUUUCAUGUUUGUGUUUUCAAUUAAGAUUACACAUCCAUUUGUCAGAAAUACGCACCAAUAUUCCUUAUUACCUAACCUUAAUCCUGUAAUUCUGAUUCUGAACUGCUCUUUACACUCCUUUUCCAUCGAUCAAUACAGAUCAAUCUUUAUUAUUUGCUCCAGGUUGCUGCUGCUGGUUACUCUGUCAUGGAUUAUUAUUUUUCAGUAGUCAGUUAUCCUAGUGCUUGCUUGGACAUGCUCAACAAUGGAGUUUCUCUAAAUGUAAUUCCCACAGUGAAAUCUUCUGUCAAAGUCAUUUCAAGCCGGAAAAGAUCAGGAAAAUGCAGUCUUGAAACAUCAAGCGAAUAGUGCCCAGCAGGAAAAAUUCGUUUCUACUAACAAAUGGAAUGUAAAGUUGAUCCAAGGAUGCUACUAACUUACAAGAAAUUAAAUCAUCAAAGAAAAAAUAUCCACUAGAAGAAGUGUUCUUUCCUUCUAUUUAAAAAGAAUUCGAAAUUUUACUAGACCCUAAUAACAUGAAGUAAAUCUGUUUUUUUUACUCUUGGCUUGUUCUCAAAAAUUUUAUUGAUAUUAAUUAAAUAACAAAGACAAUGAUGUAGCUAGUAUGAACUAUGAAAAUUGAGAACGAGAGGGAUGAUCAGGAAUGGAUUAAGAAAAAUGGGCUUGAAAGAGACCCAACAGGAGAGAAAAAUCUAAAAUAAACUCUUGAUGUCUUUCAUAACUCAAUUUUUGACUCUUUUUAUUUUAUUAUUAUUACUAUUAUUUUAUUUAUUGAAAAAUGAUAAUAAAAAAAAUAAUGAUGAAAAGAAAAUAAAAAAUGAAGAAUAAAUUAAAAUUAGGUUAAGGCAACAUGAUUGGAAGUUUUGGGGAUUAAUUAAAGUUUGGAAUUAAUUCAAUCAAGGGUUUAAUUGGAGAAUUGAUAAGUUUUGAGAUUAAUUGAGUUUGGAAUUAAUUGAAUUAAUGAAAAUCAAGGAUUUAAUUAGAGAAUUGACAAGUUGUUAGACUUAUUUGAACUUGGAAUUAAUUUAUUCAUGGACUUAAUUGAAAAACCAUCAAAGUAUAGGGCUGAUUAUGGUCAAAUUUGCAAGAAAUUAAAACCCAAGGACCAAUGUGUAAAUGGCGCUGAGAUUCAGGGGUUCAAUUACAAUUUACCCAAGGACUGGACUGCAAAAAGUCAACAUGUCUAGGAUGAAAACGCAAAAGGCCAUUAACAUCAGCACUGUUCAUCUUCUUCACCCGAAAACGCAUGCCUUUAUUGCAUUAAAAUCCAUGCAACCGCAUGGCAUUCUCUGGUUAUAAAAACCAGAGAAGGAGAACGAGCACCAGGUUAGAGAGGGGGAGAGGAGAAAAUAAACAGACUUUCAUUCCUCUGUUUCUUCUUAAGGAAACAGAGGAGGUUAAAGAAAAAAGCAACAAACAGGAGGAAAAAAGAGCAAAACCGGGGGGAAAAAGGGAGAGAAGACAGAGAGAGUGAGCGACCGAAAAGGGGAAAACAAAAGGAAAAACUGAGAGACAGGGGAGAAAAGGCAGAACCGAGGGGACUAAAGGGGGGGAAUAAAAGAAGAAAACAGAGGAGACAAAAACCGGGGAGAGGGGGAGACACAGAAUCAGUUUCAACCAUCUCUUCACCAUCUUCAACAACUCUUCAGCCUCCAGGAACCCAGACAGGAGAAGAAACCCCAUCGACUUGCUUUGGGAAGACGCAGAGUUACAGAAUAGAGAGCGGAGAAGCAUACGAAAAAAAGAGGGGGGCAAGCUUCCAUUCAACCGACAGCACCUAGCAUCUUCAUCACCAUCGUUGAUGUCCUGAGCAGAGGAAACACAGAAGGAAGACCAAGGAAAGCAGUAGACAAGAGUCACCACCAGCGUCACCACUGUUUUUGUCGCCUCCAGAAGCAGCAGCUUCAGAUCUCCAUCUUCAGUAGCCACUGCACCAGAAACAGGGCACUCCAGGAGAGAAAUACAGGGAAGAACCGGGGAAGAAAAGGAGAAAGAGAAGGAAGAAGAGAGGAAGAACAAGAGGUGGCAGCGCCGUUCGUCCAGCGCAGUGCGCCAUCGUCUCCGGCUACGCCUUGCUGCACCAGGUAAGUCUUCUCUCGUCUCUCCCCUCCUGCGUUAUAUUUCACUUGCCACUCUAGCAAGUGAAUUAUAAUUAAUUCACUACCCAACCGGGUCACUGGCUUCGGCCAGUGACCAGACCAGGAAUGUUGGGUCUACCUAGCCAUGUAGGCUGGAUCAGACCCAGCCCCACAAAAAAAAUAAAAAAAAUAAAAAAAAAAACAAAAAAAAACUAGAAAGUGUAGAAAUAAAAAUUUUACAUGUCUUAGGAAAAAUGUAUUUUUGUCAAUUUAUUCACUGAUAUUAGGAUCAGAAAUAAAAAAAAAUAUAUACUGAUUUUUUUUUAGCUAUGAAUUUCUACACCAGAGUUGGAAUUAUUCAUGGUGGAAUUUUUACCAACGCUAGAUUUGGAAUUAUUCGUGGUGGAAUUUUUAAACUCUAGAGUUGGAAUUAUUUGGGGUAGAAUUUUUACCAACACCAGAGUUGGAAUUAUUUGAAAUCGAAUAUUCACUGACACUAAAGUCAGGAAUAUUAUAAACAAAUCAUCAUAGCAUAAGCGAAUAAAUGUUUAGUAAUUUAAGACAAAACCAGCAAUGCAGUCUGCCUCAGGCAGAACAUUUAAAGGGUGAUAAUAUCUUCCCUUUUACAUAACCAAUCCCGAACCAUAGAAUCUCUGUUGACUAGUUAGGGUUUCUAGUGGCGACUCCUUAAACAAGAUUUUUUUCCCCUAAAAGAACAAGAUGCCAGAAAUCUAUUUUUUAUUCUUUUUCCAUAAUGAAGAUUAUUUUUAGAGCCGCCGGGUGCGACAAUGUUUAAAAUAGCCUAGAAGUAGGGCUUAGAUAGCUAGGGCUGAGAAAAUUGCCAAAAUAGGUAAAUACUGAUUAUUCAAUAAAUAAAUAAAAUAUUGCCUUGUUUUAAGUUUAGACUUAUGUUCUUUCAGCAAACAAAAUUAUUGUAGAACCACAUUCCACCUUGCUGGUAUGAUCCUGUGGUUCUAUCAAUUAUUUUAUUAAUUGAGAAAAUACUGUAAACUAUUACAAUUGUGAAUAAAUUCCAUAUUAUUAGGGAUAUAGUAAUCACAAGAAGCCAAGAAAUCUAAGAGCAAAACGCAACAUAAUUAAGACAUAACAAACAAAUAUGGAUACAAGCACAAGAACAAACACAAGUCACAUCAAAACAGAAAGGCUAAGCAACAAGAACCGGACACUUCGACAGAACACUUCUCACAGGCAAAUUGCUAAACAUGCAGUGAUCAACCCUUGAUUUGGAAUGCGACUGCAUCCCCAUAGAGGAUCACAACAAAUUCAGAAAGCAGCCCACACGCUGAUAAGACCCAAUCACCUUUUGAAUCUGGACAACUUGCGAAAGUUUAUAGCCAAAAAGCAGUAGCAAGUGUCAAUGCACUCUUCAAUGAAGUAAAACCACCUGCGUCGCCAAUGCGGAUUUAUGCACAGUACUGCUGCAAUUGUCAACACCACAAUUAUGUAAAACACACCAAAGCUGGCAUAGAAACUGUCCAUGUCUAUUAAUCCAUCAUCUCCAUUGGAAUUGUUAGGCACUCUCACUGAUGGUGAUUCUGUUUUGUCGCAACUGUUUUGCAAUGGAGGUCCACAAAGAAGAGGAUUCCCUUUAUAACUGCUCUCAUCAAAGGUAGCAAAUUGAUAUUUCAUCUCCGGUGUUCUUCCUGACAAAUUAUUGUACGACACGUUGAAAACUGCUAGAAAGUUCAGUUCAACGAGUUGUGCAGGAAUUCUCCCAUUCAAGUUGUUGUGAGAAAGAUCCAAGCUCUCUACGUGCUUCAGAUUGGAGAAAGAUGAAGGGAUCAAUCCCGUGAGAUUAUUUUGUGACAGAUUUAGAGCGAAUAUGUCACUUAAGUUUCCCCAUUCUGUCGGGAUUUCUCCAGUGAAUCUAUUACAAGACAGAUCCAUAGCAGACAUGUAACGAAGGAUAUCGCCCUCGUAAGUGUAGAAAUUUUUCUUUGCUGUAAGCUCUACAGCUAUUUUUACAUCAAUCUCUGGCCACAUAGUUUUGCUAUCAAUAUGAAAACCUCUGUUACCCAAUUUUCUCCCCCCUAUGGAUGCCAAUAUUUCUUUCUGGCUUCCAUCAUCUUCUGACACCGUAUCUGUGACGACCAAAGUUUUUUCACCCGAUGCCGUAAAAUUUAAAUUGCUUAAACAUAAGGGUAACGGACCAGAAAAAUUAUUUUCUGAAAGAUCCAAUAUGCUUAAUUUCCUUAACAAGCAUACCUGAACAGGAAGUUCCCCAUUGAAUUGAUUAGAUUUCAGAAGAAGAAUGCUCAAUUUCGAUAGUCUAUCAAUCCAAUUUGGAAUUGGCCCAGUUAAGUUGUUAUUGCCAAGAUCUAAUGUCACCAAAUGAGAGCUAUUAUAAAAAGCAUUUGGCAGUGGACCACUCAAUCGAUUUCUGUAUAGGUGGACAUAGCGUAAAUAUGGUGUUUGGAAGCCCAACGACAAUGACCCAGACAGAUUGUUUUCAGAAAGAUCUAAAAAUUCAAGCAAAUAACAUCUGAAAAGCUCUAUUGGAAUGGUACCUUCAAAAUGAUUUCUGGACAAGUCAAUUCCCUGCAAGAAUAUUGAAGAGUUCCCAAUUCCCUUUGGAAGCGUGCCUGACAAAAGAUUGUUACUGAUAUCAACCAACCAAAGUGAUGAUGCAAGAGAAAAGGUGCCAGAUACUUGUCCAACAAAUUUGUUUCCAUCUAGAAAGAGGUAACGCAGGUGAGUCAUGUUGAAAACAAAAGGCGGUAAUCGCCCUUUGAAAUUGUUAUUGGACAGCUUCAAAAACCACAACGAGGAGCCUCCUGUAGGCAAGUUAUGCUCAAGUAGUUCACAAGUCAUAUGAUUGUUGGAAACAUCCAAGUAUGCGAGAGAGCUCAUAUUCCCAAAAGGAGGAAUGCAACCUGUAAGGUUGUUGUUAGCCAUCAAGAAGUUCUUCAAACGUGGAAAAAUCAAACAUGUGUUUCUUGCAAUUUGACCAUGGAUGUUGUUGUCAGAAAUAUCUACUGUCCGAAGGUUGGGUGUUGGAUGUUGUGGCAACUGCAAAGGACCUGUAAUUGAGGUGUCUCUCAAAUAUAAUCGAUUUAACAUUCUAUUAUUCUCAACCAGCCAUGAUGGGAAAGGUUGUCCAAUGAAUUUGUUGUGGGAUAGAUCAACAAACAUCAAAUCAUAUUGGCUAUGGAGGAAGUUUGGAAAUCCAGCCUUGAGUGGUUUUGAAGUACAGUUUGAAGCACUGAAAAAACGAAGCUGGAACUUGGUAGCUGAAGGCUGAAAACUGGGUGCAGGUAUUAGCUCAUUGUUAUCGCAUGCAAUGAACUUGAGGUUGGAGUGGUUCAUAAAUGAACCAAAAGAUAUUGGAACUUGAAAGUAAUUAUUUGAAACUGAGAGGUAUUCAAGCUGCGUAAGAUGGGAGAGGUGACUAAAGGCAAUAUUUCCCUCCAAUUGAUUGUCAGAUAAAUCCAAGAAUUGUAGAAAUGAUAGAUUUCCAAGACAAGGAGGGAGCAAGCCCGUUAGUUUGUUUCCUGAGAGAAAUAGCUGUUCAAGAUUCGUCAGUUCACACCAGCCUGCACAUUAUAUCCAUAUGUUCAUGUCAAGGGAAUAGGAAUAUAUCAAUUAUGUACUAUUCGUUGAGAGAUCUAUUCGAAUACAAGUUUAUUAGCGAUUUAAUUUACCUUGGUGAGGCAGGGUGCCAUUUAGCAUACAGCUUUCCAGAGACAAAAUUCUGAGAGCAGGAAACGGUCCAAUAUUUAGAAGAAAACUUGCUGUCAUGGGAGAAGCUCGAUCCAGGAAUAGCUCUUCAAGUUUGGUGAAAUUCUGCGGUCCUAAAGGAUUAAGAAAGGUGCGUUCUUAAUAUCAUUUGAGUUGAGAUUGAAGGAAGCGGAAACAUAAAGGGAUUGGGUUAUUAAAAAAAAAUUAUUAUGGGAAAUUAAAAUCAUUUCCGACAUAAAUUUCUAUUUUAUUGAUCCAUAUGUAUAACCAGCUUAUAAAAGGAAAAACGGAGAAAUUUUUGUUGAUAAAAUUACUAAAUAUCGUCAUAAACGUAAUGGUUUAAUAACAUGAAAAUUCUUUUAUUCUUUCAUGGGAAAUUUUUAGAUUCAUCAUUUGACACAUAUUUUUGCUAUCCGAAGAAAGGAGCUUGAGAUUUGAGUGGUUCAUAAAUGAUUCAACUACUUAACAAAACUGGGACUUGAUUGUAAGACACAUCCACCAGUUGUAAUAGAUGACAAGUUUCUCAAACAAGUUGUGAUGAGGGACACGUAUCUACAAGUUUAAACUCAGAAAGAAGUCUGAAUGUGUCAAAUAAUCUUUUAAUUACCUUGAGCAGGUCCGGUGCCAUGGAAGUCAGCUCUGGUCAAGGAUAAAACUUUAAGAGUAGACAAGGGUCCAAUGUUCCGAAGAAAGCUUGUUGGGAGAGAAGAAUAAUCGAGGAACAUUUCUUCAAGGCUAGUCGAAUUACACAAUCCUGUGGAACAGAUAAGAUAAAUCCAUUAAUGAAAGUGAUAUAUAAAUAUCAUGUUUUAGGCUCCAAACUGUAACUGACCUUUACCAGAGUGUAUUCCUUUAAAUUUGCUCCCAGUAGCAUAUAAGCUCUUGAGGGAUGGCAACGCUCCCAAUGACUCUAUCAAAAUGCUUUCCUUGAAGUCAAUUAUUUCCAGAUACAAGAUUUCUAAAUUCCUCAAACCUGUGAUGGAGAGCACAAUUAAUAAUAAUGGCUUUUUUAUUUUUUAUUUUUUAUUUUUUCCUGAUUCCAAGUGGUACAGAUAUGUGUGUUCUACAAUUUGUUUUAUUUAUGUGUUGUCAUCUGGAAUAAUUUGGAGCACUAUCGUAGAAUGAGCAGGGGUGCAUGCAGAGUAAUUGAUCUAGCAGUUUCCGGCUGCUGUGUUCUACAAAUUUUUGUUCUUGACUUUUUGUUUGCUCUAUCUAGUUGGAAGUUUUAGCUCAAAAUUGUUGAUAUAAAUAAUUUCUAAUGUUAAAGAUUAAUAUAUAAUUAUUAUUAGAAACUUACCCAACAAUUUAAGUCUUUGAAUUAAAUUAAUUUUAAUAUGAUAUUAGAAUUUUAAUAACCAAAUGUUUAUGAAUUUAAAUCAUCUCACCUCCAUUCCUUUAAUAUUUUUUAAAAAAUAAUCAGCACUAGCGAAAGGUAUACCAUGUAAGAAUCCAUAACUAUUUCACUUGAAAAAAUAUGUUAAAGGAAUUAAUUAUAUAAAAGCAUUUAUAGGGCUUCAUUCAUCUGCUUGAUGAUUAAUGCACAGCUAAUUAUUAAAAAAGUUAACAAAAUAAUAAAUUAAGCCUCUCUAAGGAAUGUCAUCGAGGUAGGAAUGAUUUACCAUUGAGACCAAUUGAUCCUGUAAACUUAUUUUUUGAUAGAUGUAGAGAUUUGAGAGUUGAAAAACCACCGAGAGAUGAUAAAAUACUAUCGUUAAAUUUAUUGUCACUCAGUUCAAGUUCCUGCAAUUCCCUCAACCCUGAUGCUAGCUCGUGAAAACCUAUAAGAAAAUUGUCAAAAGCAAAAAAAUUAACAAAUAUAUAUAUUUCAACCAUCCAUUAUCCAUAAAAGUUCAAUGAAAUAUAAAUUUAUGUAUUAAUUUUUUAUAUACCAAUUGUUCCUGUGAACCUAUUGUUUGAUAGAUGUAGAGAUUUGAGAGUUGAAAAACCACCGAGAGAUGAUAAAAUGUUGUCGUUAAAUUUAUUGUCACUCAGAUCAAGUUCUUCCAACUUUCUCAACCCUGAAGCUAGUACUUGAAAACCUGAAAGAAAAUUGUCAGAAUAAAAAAGAUUACACCUGAAAUUUAUUUUUCAUUGAACUUUUUUGGAUAUUGGGAUAUUGUAUGAUAUAUAUACCCCAAUAUCCAUAAAAGUUAAAUGUAAAGUUACUUGAAAUAUAACUUGAAGUGUUAACUAAAAACAAUUGAACCUUGAUUCUCUAAGACACCAUCUAAUCGGUUGUCGCUUAAGUGGAGAAUCUCCAAUUCUUUGAAAGGCAGAAACAAAGAUGCAUUGAGAUCCAAGUCUUCGAAUGGAAAAGAACUUACACCUGAAAGAUGAAGUUCGAUCACUCGGUUUGUGGUGCUGUCGCACACAACCCUACCCCAGUUACAGCAAUUAAAAUGCUCUUUAUCCCAACCUUUUGAUAGAGGUAGUAUAGAUAACCCAGCAGUUGCAUGACUGAACCAAGCUUUUAUCUCUAAGAGACUAAUUCUCUCUUCCUCUAAACAACAAUGGCACCGCUCGUUGACGAAGGCCAGUGCCAUGAGCAGCAUCCACACCCACAUUUGCCUCAUCUUCAUAUUGACUCUCCUACUUGACAAAAUACAAUAGCAAUCAAGUUGUCUCUUAUAUACAAUUUUGUCCUCUUCAUGCAUUUGAUCGGACAGUGACAGUUAUCUGUAUCAUUGAAUUAAUUAUCCAAGGUAGACUUGGGCUUAAUUGAAUGGGAGAGUCUUCACGGACAGUGCUAGCCGUGGGCCCGCACCACGGCACAGAUCAACGUGGUUGUUGAUAUAUAUUUUUUUGUUAUACUAUCUUAUUAUUUAAUUCUUUUUUGUUUUUAUGUUUUAUGUUUCCCUGAUCUACUAUUGCAUUUAGUACCUUAACAAUAUGCAUUCAUUGCCAUCUAGAAUUUCAUUCAAUAGAGCGAUUAAUCAAGAAACUUAUUAUUGACUUUCAUUUAAAUUAGAAUACAUGAAUAAUUUAUGAGUUUGAAAAAUGUUAUCCAUCCAUAUUAAUUACACAAAUUUUAAAAUAAAUUGCAAUUAAGUUUUUCCAAACAAAUAUCAUUACAUAAGGAAUACGUACGUACUCAAGACAUAGGAAGCCAAGUUUCCAAGAUAAUCCAUUAUUCAAUUUUGUGAAUGAUGAAACUUUUCAAGAUAAUCCUUAUAUAAUAAGGUUUGAUCAAUUUUUUCGAGAUUGUGUUAUCAUAAAUCACAUAUCGUUUAAGUUUCCAGCUUAUAAUAAUAAUUUACACGAAUUAUUGGUGAGAAAUCUCCAAAAUCAUUUUAAAAAAGACAAAUCUAUAUGUCUUAUAGUGCUAUCUCUUUUUUUGUGUUUUCAAAUGUUUUUGUAUUAUGUGUACAUUAUAUCAUCUCUCAUACACAAAAUAUGAGACAUAAUAUUUUAUUUUUAGGAAAAAUCUAAUAAUCCCAUAAAUGAUCAAAUAUCAAUUUGCUUUCCCUAAAUAAUAUCACAUAUAUUAUUUCAAAAUAGUUUUAGAAAUUUGUUCAAUCAAGUCUGUACUUAAUUUUUCUAGGUUUAUAAUUGUAAUCACGUGUAUCAACUUCACUUUAGUUCUUAAUUUCUAAAACUUAAUUACAAUCAAGUCACAUUUAAUUAAUCAUCUCAUUUUAAUUUUUGAUCAAUGAUUUUUAAUGUGUGUGGCCAAUUGAGUUCUUAACAAGUUGGCUCAAAUAUAAAUAACAAUCAUAAAUAAAAUACAAUUAAACAAUUUAACAAUUUAACUUAUCAUUAAUUUAACAAAUUAAUUAAUUAAUAUUUGAAAAUCAAGUGCAAUAUUUAAUAACAUGUCAUAACCCUCUAAAUAUUAAAAAGGUCAUACAUGUUUUGACUUAACUUUUUAUUGACUAGUUUCUCAAAGUAAUUAUUAUCCCUUUAUUAAGAAUAUUUUAAUUUAGAUAUUAGAGCACAAAGUAUAUAUGUUCUAUCAAAUCAAAUUUAUUAUCAACAUCAUAGUCAUAGAUUAUUUGAAUAAGAUUUGAAACUCUUUACAAAUCUUAUUACACCUUGCACAAUGAUUUCAUAGUCAAUACUAUUUGUCGCACGUGUAUGGCAUCGCGGCGAUCGUCCACCCUCAAGGAAAAAUGUAAUGGACUAUCUGGUAAAUGUGGAGAGACAAGGAAUUCUUGUCACUUAUCAAUGGAAAAUUUAAAUAGGAGUCGCCACCUAGUAUUCUAGUCACUAGGAACCCUAACUGGUCUUAGAGAUCGGAUACGGAGACUGGUUGCGUAAAGGGAAUGUAUUAGCACCCCAAAUACUCCCUACCUAAGGUAAGCUGCAUUGUUUUGUCUAAUAAAAUCUAAAGUCUUGUUGUGGUUUCUAAUUGUCGGUCCGUUUACAGUUUAAGAAAAGUCCUCUGUAAGGAGAUCCUUAUCUUAUCAGGUAAAACCUAAUUAUUUUAAGUUGUCAAAAGAAAAUACCUUUUUAAUAUCGGGAAUACAUUUUACGUAUAAAUUCAUAAUCUUUGAUACUAAAAUCAAACAAAAUAAAAAUUUUUUUUGUUUUUGAAAUUUUGGUCAAUGUUCUCUUCACUUUAAUAAACUGGUUAUUAAAGCCACAAUGCAUGCUAAAUUUUUUUUUUUUCUGGUGUAUGAAAAACACAAUAUGAUUUUUUUAGCUUUUGAGACACUUGUCCAUAUACACAAAAAGAUUUUUUCUUUUUCUCAAUUUUUUUUGUAUUUUGGAAGUUUUAACAAAAAUCGGGUAUUUUAAUAUCGAAUUUGUAUGUUUACGACGCAAAAUACUGACCGAUAUUAAGCAAAACAAAAGACAUAAAUCAAAAGGAGGAAAUCAGAAAAUAUUAAAAAUAUUUUUUUAAAAUGGGCCGGACCCAGCCCAGAUCAAUGGGCUGGGCCGGACCCAGCCCAGAUCAAUGGGCUGGGCCAGACCCGACCCAAAAAACUAAUGGGCUGGUUACUGUGUAUAAGCACAGUAACCAGCCCUUCACUCUUUCCUGCAGAACGUGAAUUAUUCAUGUUUUGCAUGCAAAUACAGGCAGGGACAAGAAGAGGAAAAUGAAUGAGGCAGCAGGAGGUUACCUAGGGUGGCGUCGAGGCGGUGUUGCUGGCAGCGGCAGUGCUACUAUCGUAGUGGUAGUGUUGGUGGCCGGCGGUGCUUCUCCUUUUUCUUCCUCUCCCUCCUUUGUUUUUUUUUUAUUAUUAUUUCUUUUUCUUUCCUUUUCUCCUCCUCUUUUCUGCUAUGUCUUGUCUCAUCUCUUCUCUUCUCUCUUAUGUUCCUCUAUUUUAUUUUUUUCUUCCCUCCCCUCUGUUUUUUGUUCUUUUUUCGGGUCUGUUUUUCUUCUUCUCUUUCUCUCUUCUUCCUUCUUUUUCUCUGCUCUUUUCAGUCCUCUUGCCUAUCUGCUCUCUUGUCUCUCUUUCUCUCUCUCAGUUUCCCCACCUUUCAUCAUGCUCUCCCCCUCUGUAUUUAUAGGUGAAAACAAAGGGGGGGGGGAGAGGUCGAGGUGGCCACUGUGUUGCCACCCCAAACCGCCCAAGGGGUACGUCCCCUCCAUUCUUCCACCACGUGGCAAGCAAAUGGGUUGUAUCGGCAUCUUUUUUAGCUUUAAGAGAGAGAGGGAGCUAGUGAAAACAGGGGAAUAAAACCUUCUUCUUCCCCUAAUUUCUACACAUCGAAGGGAAGAAAGGUUGUAUCGUUCAAAAAGGCACCAUUUUGGGCUUUCUCUCUUUCUUUGUUUUUAUGAACAGUAUAUGAAACGACGCUGUUUUGGUCAAAAUGCGUCAUUUUAUUUAAAUGGAUUUUGGUGCCAAAACGUGUCAAAUUCAAAAUCAGGCCUUCAAUUUGCAUGUGUUUUACAAUUUAGUCCUUGGUCUCGGAUUUCUUCAAUUAAGUCCCUAAUUGGCCAUCAAACUUCAAUAUUUAUGCAAUUAAGCCCCUAAUUUGACCAAAUUAAAUCUUAAAAAUUAUAUUUUGACCCCAAAACUUUAAUUUAUUUCAAUCAAGCCAAAUUAACUCCAAAAUUAAUUUUUCUUGCAAUCAAAACCUCCAUAAAUUCAAUUAAACCUUUAAGAAAAUUUAAUUGAGUCCAUAAACCUCUGAUUUUGGUCUUUUCUUUCUCAAAUUAAAUUUUCUUUGUCAACAGGGCUAUCAUCAGUCAACAAAAUAUUGUCAAAUUUUAAUUUUUGUAUUUUUAAACCUUCUCAACCAAUUUUUAACCCUUUUUUAGUGUUGCUGAAGACUGUGAAGAUGAUGGUCAACGCCGGUUCUCGUCUCUACGCUUUCAUCCGAUGGGCUGAGUUUGCGUCUCCUUUGCUCCUGGUUUGAGAUUCUGUCAACUUCAGUUCUGAGAUGAAGGGACAAAGAAGAUGGUGGGGCUGCUCCUUGUCUUUGCGUCGUUUCUCUGCUUUUAUUUUUCUCAGUUUUUUCGUUCCUCGGUUCUGCUUCCCCCCUCCUCUUCUUUCAUUCCCUGGCUUCUUAUAGAGCCAGAGAACGUGGUAAUCAGGGUGAGCCACGUUCCCACGAUAUGCAGUUACAGAUGUCCUGCUGAAACGGUCUUGAGCGACGAAGAAGGUGGAGCGUUUGAACUGGAAAUGGCAACUUUCGUUUUGGACCUUGAAUUUUAGAAAGUUUUGUAAUUAAGUCCCUAGUUAAAUUGUAAUUGGACCCCUGCAGUUUGGCAUCUUUUACAAGUUAGUCCUUGGAUUUUAAUCUGUUUGCAAUUGUGCCCCCAAUUAACCCCAAACUUUGCUAUUUUUCCAAUUAAGUCCUUGAUUUCAUUAAUUAAAUUAAAUCCAAGUCCAAUUAAGUCUUAAACUUAUCAACUCUCCAAUUAAACCCUUUGAUUUGAUAAAGUAAAUUAAUUCCAAACUCAAUUAAGUCUCAAAACUUAUUAAUUCUCCAAUUAAACCCUUGAUUUAAAUAAUUAAACUAGUCAAGAAUUUAAUUAAAUCUUUAAACUUCCAAUCAUGUUGCUCCUAACCCAAAUUUUAAUUCAUUCUUUAUUUAUUAAAAUUUUUACUUGUUUUUCAUUUUAGUAAAUAAAAUAAUUAAAAUAAAAGGUAAAAAAUUGGGUUAUGAUAAUUAUUUUUAUCAGAUUUUAUAUAUGAUGCAUCAAGUUUUUUAAUGUUAAUUGAAAAAAAAAUUAGGAUUACAUCCUAGUCGUAGAUAUGAUUAUUAUUCAUUUAAUGUUAAUAGAAACAUAUAUAUAUAUAUAUAUAUAUAUAUAUAGCAAAAGCAAAAGGUUUGAAUUGGUGGUUAAAAACAAAUAUUUUUUUAUUUUGCGGUUCCACCAGAUGCACCAAGUAAAUUAUUGUGAGGGUGCUCCCCUUCAGUAAAACUUUUUUUAAAAAUAAUUUAGUUUCGGUUGACUCACAAAAUUGAGACAUCUAGCUCAUGACUCAUGGCUUUGGCUUUAGACGUAGCUGUAACUUCGCUUACUAUGCUUAUUAUGCAAAGCAAUUAUUUUCAAGCUUCUGGAACGGGGCGUUCCUGCAUCUUCUUUUAUGGCAGAAGAGAUUAGAAAAUGACUUCUAUUGUCAAUAAUUUCUUCUUCCUUGUGAAAUGAUUUCCCGAUACAGCUCUUAAUUUCAACACCUGCUUGCUCUUCUUCUUUUCUUAGUAGACCUGGGAAGUCAAGUUUCCUAAUUAUCCACAUCAUCAAUCUCGAUCCCAUCAAAAAUGAAUUUGGUGGAAGAAAGAAAAAAAAUAAAAAAAUAUCAAUUAUUUUCAAGCUUGUGGAACGGGGUGUUCUUCCAUUUUCUUGUUUUAACUGUUUUCUUCGUAGACUUGGGAAGUCAUGUGUUAUGAACAAUUGAUUUGAUCUUGAAAAUGACUUCUUUCAAUAAUUUCUUCUUCCUUGUGAAAUAAUUUCCCGAUACAGCUCUUAAUUUCAACACCUGCUUGCUCUUCUUUUCUUAGGAGACCUGGGAAGUCAAGAUUCCAAAAUAUCCACAUCAUCAAUCUCGACCCCAUCAACAAUAGUGCCCAGCAGGAAAAAUUAGUUUCUGACGGUGAGAUGAUGCCAAAAUUGUAGUCAAAGAGACUUGGAACUCCCUGAUGAUGGUCUCUAGCUCUGGAGGUUUAUUCUGCCAAAAUUGCAUGGGCCGUUUUACAGCCUUCGUAAUGGGCUUGGCUACUUUGGGUAAUUAAAAAAACCCAAAUCGAUAAUGUUUUUUUUUUUUUCCUUUGGUAUCCGUUUAAUCAAUCUUCUGGUUUGAUCCUUGAUAGUGCUGUGUUUUGAUGCUUGUCGAUUAGCCACAAUAAUGUUAAAUUUACAAGGACAGAUCCAAGAAAAGCAAUGCAGGCCUGUAUUGGUCUCUGGGAGUCCCCUGAUAAAGGCUGCAAUCAUUGCUUGAACCCUUGUAAAGGGGCCUUUACACAUGAGGUCCACUGAAGAAGUACAACACCGUUUUUUUAUUUAAUUCUUAUGGUUUAAAUCUACUAAUAACUUAGUCAUUUUGCAUGCUAUUUUUCCACUUGUUUUGUAAAAUAGAGAAAAGAACAAAGUAAAUCUUUUUUUUUAGUUUAUGGCAUGUUCUCAAAAGUUUUAUUGAUAUUAAUUAAAUAAAAAAGACAUUGAUAUAGCUGAAAAUUGAGAACGAGAGGGAUGAUCAGGAAUGGAUUAAGCAAAAUGGGCUUGAAAAAGACCCAACAGCAGAGAAAAAUCUGAAAUAAACUCUUGAUGUUCAAAAUAGCCCACAAGCAAGGAAAAUUACCAAAAUAGGUAAAUACUGAUUAUUCAAUAAAUAAAGAAACUUCCUAGAAUAAGUGUGACAUCCUUUAAUGUUUUUACCUUUUAGAACAGUUUAUCCAGGUCGAUUCCACUUUGCUUCAACCGACCACAAUGAUCCCAUAUCCAUCUAUACAAAAAUCAAUUAAGCGGUCCAUUGACACAUUAACUUCUCUGGCUCCAUUCCGUCCUGGAUUAGCAAUCUUUCAACAUUGAGUGUUCUUCUUCUAAAAGCUACCUGAUCUUGUCAACCUAUGACAGAUCUAAAGACUUGAGAGCGGAAAGCCCAUUAAAACAUGAUAAAAUGCUUUUAUCAUUAUUAAAUCGGUUCCCACUUAGGUCAAGUACCUCCAGUUUUGAUGGUAGGACUUCGAAGCCUGGAAGAGAAACAUCAAAGCAAGAUAAUUGACAUUAAACACCGACCUUGAUUCUCAAAAUAAUAUAAAUUUAUUCUAUGAUUAUAAGAACAGAAAGAUUGAACCGACCAUGAUUCUCAAAGCAACCAACUAAUCCAUUACCGAUCAAAUCAAGACUUUGCAAUUCGUUAAAAGGCAGAAACAAAGAUGCGUUGAGAACCCAAUCCCCCAAACUCUCAUCCCUUGCACCAAUAAGAGAGAGUCGGAUCACUCGCCUUUGAGUGUUAUCACACUUGAUCCCAUACCACUCACAACAAUUACUACUGUACUCCGCCCAAUCUCUCAUGUAAAUGCUGUUUGGAUUGAUCAAAGGUUUGAUCUCCAUGAGACCAAUUCUCUCUUCCUCCAAACACCCAUAAGAACGACCACACCAUUUCGCCAUCCAAAGUCAAUAAUGUGACCAAAAUCCAAACCCACAAUAUCUUUUUCACCACCAUCUUAUAUUGUUCUAUAAACCACUACGUAGAAUUUUGUUGUUUGUUAUGUGAGUUUGGGCAACCCACAUUUGGUCCCAUUUAAAACACACUUUGGCCAUUUCCAUGAUUUUAUCUGCGUAUCCUGUGCAGGUUCCAUGAUUUUAUCGGGGAGUCAAUUUAAGUUAUUUUCCUGCCACUUUCUCAGCAGUUAUUCUCGUAGAGUCCUAUUUUGUGUUAAACGUUGGGUGCGUAUAAAGUAGUCAAAAGUAGGAUAUCCCGCUUUCUCCAUUGCUGUUCUGCAACAAUAUUUUGGUAGCCUUAUAGCACUCACUACUGGAGAAAUUGAGCUAAAGCAUAAAAUGUCAUGUACGCGGAUGCUUGACUUGCGGUGUGCCAUCUUGACUCUUAAACACCACCGAGCAGUAAUUUCAUGGUGAUUUCCUUAUUAAUACUGGUGGUCUUCCAGAAUCUUUAUCCAAACAACCCUUGCUAGACCGGGAUCGGGGUUGAUCAGGGAUAAGACUCGUGUCAUGACUUUUGAUGAGAUCACUAGGGCUCUGUUUGUUUGCAGGAAAGUGAAUUCCUUUUGGAAAGUGAAUUCCGGGGAAAGUGAAUUCCUGGAAAGUGAAUUCCGGGAAAGUAUUUUCCGAUGUUUGGUAGUGUUAUGGAAAAUGAACUGGAAAACACUUUCCAGUGUUUGGUUGUAUUAUGGAAAAUGAACUGGAAAAUAAUUUAUUAAUGAAUUAAUUUUUUUUUUAAAUUUAUCUAAUAUAUAUAUAAAAUAUCUAAUAUAAAAUAUUUAAUCACUUACAAUAAAAAAAAAUGAAAUCUAAAAUGUAUAAUGAUGAAUUUUUUUUAUUAUAUUCUAUAUUCAUACAUAGCUUAUUUUAUAAAAUAUAACUAUAUAUAUCAUAUCAUAUUAUAGAGAAAUAAGCUUGUGAAAUGUUUUUUACUAUUCCAUGAAACUAUUUAUAAUUCCAUUACGUACGAAAUAUAUCUGACAAAAAUUAUAGUUUUAAUAAUAUUUUUAGCAUGUAACAAAAUUGGAUAAAAUAUUAAGGUUUAAAAUUUACUCUAAACUAUUUUUUUUUAAUGUUAAAAAAAAUAGCACACUUAAAAAAAAAAAAAAAAGAAUCCUACAGGCAAGUGAACAGUGCAAGAGAACUGCACUGUUCACUAUUUUUCCAGUAAACAGUGUACGCAAUACACUGUUCAUGUUAAUUGCACUAUUCAUUGAACAGUGCAAUUAACAUGAACAGUUAAGAAAAAAUGGCUGCUUUUCACCGCUGGCCACUGUCGGAAAGUGUUUUCCUUUCUUUAACAAAAGAAAACACUUUCCUUUGGCAACACUGAUUUAUUUUCCAUUGACUGAAUUCAUUUUCCAUUGACUUUUUUUCUUGUUGUUGCCAAACACUGGAAAAGCAGGAAAGUGAAUUCCAGGAAUUCACUUUCCUGCAAUCAAACACGGCCUAGAUUAACUUUCAUUUUUUGCUAAUUUGGUUGAAGAAAGAAAUAUUUAGCCUGAUUUACUUCCAUAUUCAUUUUCUUUUUAAUACAUACAUGCUUGUAACAAGACAGGAUAAAAGCCAUGUAAACAAGGUAAUUAAAAAAUGUCUUCCGGCAAGUUUGUUUGUUUUUCCCCUUUAUUAUGAUAUAUAUACACGAAAGAAGAAAAUGCAUUGAUUAAAAUGCAUAGACCACCGUGUGGGCCAAUAAAAUGAAAACAAAAGACAAUAUCAAUGGUUUGCAAAAAAAGAAAAAAGAAAGUUUUCUGUUAAAUUUAUCUUUAUGUUAAUUACUUGAUUAACUAAACUUAAUCAUGUAAUAUUGAAUUAUUUGAUGAAAAACUUAUUUAAAACAGUAUUAAUUGACAUAUUUUAAAGUAAAAUAAAAAACAAACCCCGCUUACUUGCUUAUUUUUAAUGUGAAAAAUUAUUUUUUAACAUAAAUUCUUUAACAUAUUAACAUAAAAAAGUUCAAUAUAAUUAAAAUAAAUUGUGAUUAACAUGCUUUCUGAACCAAGCUUUUAUAUCUAAGAGACUAAUUCUCUCUUCCUCCAAACCACAAUGGCAAAUUGUGCCAUGAGCAGCCCUUUUGUCUUCUGGGCUGGAACAUCAGCCCAGCCCACGCGGAUGGGCUGAGUCCAGCCUUGUAGCUGGACCAAUACAGGCCCAGCCCACAUGAUUGGGUCGGGUCUGGCCCAGUUCAAUUUAAUGUUGGAACAUCAGCCCAGCCCAUGUGGGUGGGCUGAGUCCAGCCUUGUAGCUGGGUUAAUACAGGCCCAGCCCCCACAAUCAGCCCAGUUCAUUUCUUUUUUAAAAAAAAAAAAAAAAUUAUUUUCAAAGAAAUUGCAAUUUCCCCGUGUAUUUAUUUUACGUCAUUUUGAUUAAUAUUGGUCUGUAUUUUUAUAUCAUAAAGAUAUAAAUUCGGUAUUAAAAUAACCGGUUUUCAAAAAAAAAUAUUUUUGUUUUCAUACAUACGGCCUAGUUUCUCAAGGCUAAAAAUAAAUAAAAUCAUAUUGUAUCUUCAUACAACAAAGAAAACUUCAAUAUAUAUAUAUAUAUAUAUAUAUAUAUAUAUAUAUAUAUAUAUAUAUAUGUGAACAUGUGUUUUGGCUUUAAUAACCAGUUUAUUAAAGUUACGAGAACUCGGCCAAUAUUUCAAAAAAAUCAAAAAAUAUAUUUUGUUUUGUUUUAUUGUCUGGGAUUAUGAAUUUAUAUAUAAAACGUAUUCCUAAUAUUAAAAUGGUAGUUCUUUUAUAGACAUUAGAACAGUUAUGUUUUACCCCCAUAAGAUAAAAACCUCUUUACUGAGAAUGACUUUUCUUGAACCAUAGACGGACCAACAUGAUAAGACCUUAUAUUUUUUAUCAGACAGUGAAACAAUGCAACUUACCUCAGAUAGAGCGUAUUUGGGGUGUUAAUACCUUCUCUUUACGCAACCAGUCUCCGUAUCCAAUCUUUGAGACCAGUUAGGGUUUCUAGUGACUAGAAUACUAGGUGGCGACUCUCCUUCUAUUUUUUCACUGCUAAGACACAAAAAAUUCCUUGUCUCCCCAUUUUUGCUGGAAUAGAUACAAUUGCACCUAAUGAGGAGAAGUGGUGGGCGAUCAUCGCGACGCCGUACACAUGCAACACAUGUAAAACGGUUUCUAUAUAUAUAAAAGGAAGAAAGAAGAAAAUGCAUUAAAUAAAACAUGGAUAUCUUUGAAUGAAGAAAUUUAGGACACCGCUGACGUAUAUAGACAAAGUAUGCCAAGAACGAGGGGGGGCAAAAACAUUAUCAAUGGCUUGAAAGAACAAGACAAAAUAAAAUCAUUAGUUUUGAGCUUCAGAAGACAAUUUUAGCCAUUUAAUUUUGUCUUCAACUCGUUACAAAAAGCCUUGUCAUUUGAGAUUUCAUGCUUGUAAUGUUUCUGUUUUCAAUUAGUAUUACGCUUCCAUCUGUCAGAAUACUGUUGAACUUGACAAGAACUUUGAGCAAAUUCCAAUUUGAUUUUUGUAGCGAAUUAUAUCACUUAAUUGUUUGCUUAGGCUUAUUUUUAAUGUUCAAUGAAGUUUCACCAAUCAGUCAUCAAAUUCUGUAAAUGUUGCAGAUGAUUGCUAGGAAUAAAUCACAGUCAUUAAAUUUCUUCAUUUUGGUCCUUAAAUUUGUUUGCUAUGCUGUAGUUCUUUAUUUUUCGUGGAUAAAUUAUUUGGUACAGAGUUCUAAUUAAUAGCCAAAAAAGAAAAUAGCUCUGAAGAUAUCAGAACAACUGAAAAGAGAAGCAAAUAAUUGAUAAGGUGGGAGAAAAGAAUAGCAAAAUGCAUAGGCAAAUUUCUACAGUAUCAACUGACAAUGUGGAAGAAGAGAAUAUCAACCUGAUAGAUCAUAUAUGCGAGGCUUAUGUGGUUUACGAACACCUGAUUUGCAGAAGCUGGGGAUAAUGUUGAAACUCAAAUACACUCCUAUACAAUGAAAGGUUUUCUUGAAAACUAUCAUAAUUAAAGCAUAAAUUCAAUGAAAACUAAAUUUGCUGGAGGGGUUUCACAGAUUUUGACCAGAUUGAAUUUCACGAGGCGUCUAGCGUGAAUGAAUUAGGGUUUUCUUCUAGCCUUGAAAUUAUAGAGGAAUAGAGAAAAACAAAAACUCAUAUUUUUCUGAAAAGUCUAUAAUUCAAUAAUCUAAUCUUAAAACAAUACUUCAAUUGUUGAAAUAAAAGUUUUAAACCGAUCUAAUUAAAAGAAUUUAAGAUUAAGUGUGAAAAAUAUAAAAAAUACAAAAUUAUUUAGGAAAAUAAUUAAAAUAGCAAAAAUAGAAUCUUUUGACCUAACUUUGAAAAGAUCCUGUGGUGAUGGAGUCUAUAAAAUUAUCUAAUAAAAUUUAAGUAUAAUAUAAUAAUUAAAAUUAUAAUUAUAAUUAAAGCAUAAAAUGUCGUGUACGCCGAUGCUUGACUUGCGGUUUUCCAUUUUGAUUUUUAAAUACCAGAAAACGGUAAUUUCCUUAUAGAAACUGGUGGUCUCCUCGCGACCUUUUUUCUCAAAUAACUGUUGUUAGAGCAUGAUUGAAGUUAGGAUUUAACCCGUGUCAGAAACUUAAUGACUCUCCUCACUAACAGUAAUUUAUUAAAUAUUUUUAAUAUACUUAGUUCAUGUGAGGUUGUGUUUUCAAAAUCUUCCGAGAAAAAAGGACUAAAUGAUGACACACACGACAUUAAUGCAAAAAUAAAAGAUAGCACUACUGGCCAAAUUAAAUUUCACGAGAUGUAUAAAUUCAAACUAGGAUUUUCCAGCCUUUAAUACUCUAUGGAGAAAAAAACUCUAAUAUUUUUAUAAAAAGCUUAUAAUUUAAUAAUCCAAUCUUAAAACAAUAUUUCAAUUGUUGAUAUAAAAAAUUAAAACUGAUCUAAGAAAACUAAGUGGAAAAAAUAAUAAAAUAUAUUAUUUUCAGAAUAUAUUAACAAUUUAUUUCUUGAACAUGAAUACCAAGAAUAGACAGAGAGACACAGAGGAAUCAUUCACAUUUGCACUUGAAAGAAGCCAACUGUAUGCAAAGAGGGCCAAGAAGAACAAAUGAAUUAGUUUGCUGAAACAGACAAUACAAACAAAAGGAGAAGAAUGAGAAAUCAGAUGGGCAGUGUGAUGGUAUUUUCAGAACUAUGGUUGUGCCUUUUGGAAGAGAAUGUGCUUCUUCUCUGACCAUUGUGUACAAUUAUGGUCGUUGUUUCAUCAAAAUCAGAGGGCUGAUUCUGCCUUCUCCUUUACAGCUUCCAAAAGAAAAGGUGAGAAUGGGCUAUUCUUGCUUUUGAUAUUUGAAAUCAUAACAUGCUCCACUGAUUGACUUUUGGUGUAACAUUUUGAUCCUUAAACUUCACUUGGCCGUAAUUUCCUGAUGAUUUCUUUAUGGGAAACAGGUUGUCUUCUCGCAAUCCUUUUCCAAACAACCCCUGUUAGAGCAUCAUUAAAGUUUUGAUUUGUACCAUCAUCAAAAAAUGACUGUCAUCAUCAUCACAACGUACUUCCAUUUCAAUUAAUUCUUUAUAUUAUAACGCAGCAGAACAUAAAAUAAUGGGUGAAGAUAUUUUAGCUGAUAAUGGGUGAAGGGAUAUUUUUUUUCUAAUUGAAAACGACUUGUCAGCUUUAGAAAAUGCAUGCAGGGCCCAGUUUAAUUUCAAUUUCUCAUACUCUCGUUAAUGCAAGUUUGGACAGCUUGGGGAUGUGUCGUCCAUCCGGUUUCCUUUUUUGAUCGGGAGUCAAUGGGAUUAGUAAUUGACACUUCAUCAUCAAAUCAAAAUUAAAAAUGUUAAUGAACUCACAAUUAAUUGCCAUUAAGCUCCAUUGAGUGUAAACAAUGAAUUUAUAAAAUAGUCAAAAGUGGGAUGUCGUGAUUUCAACAAUGCCGUUUCAGAAAAUUGAUAGUCAUGAUGAAAAGAAGAAGACAGAAUUGUUGAGUUGAAACGUGAACGUCGUGUUCUCCUGAUCAAUUGUAUAGUGAAGAUGGUGGAACUGAUGCGGGUGCAUAGCACCAACCAUUACUUCCCUAAUGAUUUCCUUGCGGAAGAAAUUAUUACAUUUUUAAAGUUAAAAGUGCUAAAGCACAAUUCAAAGAAAAUAAGCAGUACUAAACUUAACAAGCUAGUUCAAUGGAGGAGAAUGGUGUGCUGAAACACUAUGAUUUUCAAAAAAAUUGAAGCAUAUCAGAUCCAUGCUGCUGCAUUCGCAAGAAACGAGCACCCAUCAACAAUGUGCUAAAUGUCAAUGCAGAGCUUUAAAUCAUCUACAGAGGCUCAUGAAGAAAAUAGGCAUAAAUGAUAACAGAUAACACACCAGAGCACUCUACGUAAACUGAUAUCUUUAGAAAAUUCAAAGGCAUGAAUGAAAAAGAAAAGCUAGAAAUAUCUAAGUCAGCUCUUAAUUUGUAACAGUCCACAACUUCAUGUUUGGUGUGUACUGUAAACUAUGCUCUCCACAUAAUCAUGAGCUUCAUCUGCAAAAAACCAUUUUCACUUCUUGGGACAAGGGAUCAAAAAAAUACAAACCUGUUGUUGGAUUACAUUCAUAAUUUAUAUCAAGCACUAGAUGCUGCUCGAAGGAAGUCCUUCAAGGAAAAAAAUCAGGAACAAAAAUGCUGAGAGGUCCAUCUUGGAGGUCAGAAAGCUGGAGUUCUACUAGAAGAAGAUACCUCUGGAGAGAGAAAUAAAGGAAGCCUGAACUGCUUAGAGUUUUCUUACCGAAGCUUCAAGUUAAGAUCAUUUUCAUUUCAAUUUGGAUGUAGAAAUAAUGAUGGGAUGUGAAAAUUAUAUUUUCAUUUCAGAGAGCUGGUUGAUUAUAUUUUGAAAAAGGGUAUAUAUGAAAGUUAAAUCCUCUGUUCAAAUGAACAAAGGGAUCAACUUGAGCAAGAGUCAACAAGCUAUCCUUCGAGGUCAAUGGAACAUACCACUCAUAUUAAUCUUCUACUAUUUAGGGGAAUUCAUACAUCCACUCAUCUUAAGCUGGAAAACUUAUGGAAAGCAUUCGCAAUUGUUUCCAAUGUAUCGACUGUAAUCAAUCAAUAGAUCAUCAACUAUUGUCCUCAUUGAAAGUUUCCUGCUCCCUAUAUAGAGAAUGUCUGAUUAAUUUCAUUAAAUAUGCAUGAUUCCACUGUAUGUUAGCUAACCAAAAGAGCCUACAGGCCAAAUAAACAACAGGAAUAAGAGAAACUACUUCCAACGCCAUCAUUUCUCCUUUCUAGUAUCAUCUUUUGUUUAAUGUUUAAUGCUCGUAGCCUCUGAGCACUCCAAACUAAUUUUUAAAAUAAAAUAUCAAGAGAUGGCAGAAAAUGAAUGUGCUCAUCAACUAUUUUCCUCAUUGAAAGUAUACUGUGGUAUUUUAAAUUGCUCCAGUUUUUAAAAAAUAGAAGGCCACAGGCCAAAGAAACAACAGGGAUAAGAGAAACCGUUUUUUAUUUGAGAAAAUACGAUACUGCAAACUAUUUCUUAUGAAUAAAUCCCGUAUUACAAGAAGCCAAGAAUUGGUUGGUUGCUCAGCACAACAUAACUCAACAUAACUGAUACAAACAAUUACUGAUACAAGCACAAGGACAAACACAAGUCACAUCAAAAUAGAAAGGCUAAGCAACAAGAACACUUCUCACAGGCAAAUUGCUAAACAUGCAGUGAGCAACCAUUGAUUUGGAAUGCGACUGCUUCUCCACAGAGGAUUGCAACAAAUUCAGAAAGCAGCCCACACGCUCCUGAUAAGAUCCAAUCACCUUCUGAAUCUGGACAACUUGGGAAAGUUAAUUGCCAAAAAGCAGCAGCAAGUGUCAAUGCAUUCUUCAAUGAAGUAAAACCACCUGCGACGCCAAUGCGGAUUUAUGCACAGUACUGCUGCAAUUGUCAACACCACAGUUAUGUAAAACACACCAAAGCUGGCAUAGAAACUGUCCAUGUCUAUGAAGCCACCAUCUCCAUUGAAAUCAUUAGGCACUCUCGCGGAUGGUGAUUCUGUUUUGUCGCAACUAUUUUGCAAUGGAGGUCCACAAAGAAGAGGAUUCCCUUUAUAACUGCUUUCAUCAAAGGUACCAAAUUGAUUUUUCAUCUCCGGUGUUCUUCCUGACAAAUUAUUGUACGACACGUUAAAAACUGCUAGAAAGGUCAGUUCAACGAGUUGUGCAGGAAUUCUCCCAUUCAAAUUGUUGUGAGAAAGAUCCAAGCUCUCUAGCUGCUUCAGAUUGAAGAAGGAUGAAGGGAUCAAUCCAGUGAGAUUAUUUUGUGACAGAUUUAGAGAAUGUAUCCCACUUAAGUUUCCCCAUUCUAUCGGGAUUUCUCCAGUGAAUCUGUUACAAGAAAGAUCCAAAGCAGACAUGUAACGAAGGAUUUCGCCUUCAUAAGUGUAGAAGUUUUUCUUUGUUGUAAGCUCUACAG
RNAcentral lists this long non-coding RNA (49399 nucleotides) under Populus tremula. RNAcentral describes it as "long non-coding RNA (PTRE_LNC002436)". The record is from RNAcentral. Lineage: Eukaryota; Viridiplantae; Streptophyta; Magnoliopsida; Malpighiales; Salicaceae.